GCGGGGGAGACACCGGCGCCGGGGUCGGCGGCGGCAUCGUCGGGGGCGGGGACACCGGGGCCACGGGCGCGGGCAUCGGGGUGGCCGCCGGGGCCUGGGCCGCGGUGGCGGCGAACAGCAUGGUCAGGGCCAGAGCCACGAGCUGGAUGCGCGCCAUUGCAGGAGUGAAGAGGAGAGCUUGAGCUUGAGCUUGGGGUGGCUUCUGCUUCUGCUUGAGGUGGUGCUGGUGGUGGUGUGUACUGUAAUGGUGUCCGAGACGGUAUUGGGCCGGGAGAUUAUAAAGGGGCCGCGGACGGGGCCACGACGACGAAUUACAAGAUGUGUCAGGGGCCUUCCUGCUAAUUUGCGCGCCGGGUAGCCGUCCGAUCGACAUCCAACAGCUGGUCCGGGUGGAAAGCUUCAACUCUUUUUUCUUCUCCGAACUUCUGACUUCUGAACAGCAAGCAAGCAAGUUUUUUUCCAAACGAUCAGAAAAAAUCUAGUUCAAUCCCAACAGCUGGCGGACAUAAUUUCUUUCUUUUGGUUCAUGGAAAAUUCUCCCGCGAUCGCCUUGCCUAAUUCUGUUUCUCGUUAUGGUUCACGCGUGGUUCUGGUCGACGGUGAGCUGGGUUUCUCUUCCUGUUUUUGCCUUGCCUAAUUUUGUCUUCUGGACGAUCAAUGCAAAAUGGCAAGUAGCUAGUGAGCCAAUUGGCCCACGCGUUCGCAAUGUCCCUUACAACCACAAUAAAAUGUCAGACUUCAAAACAAUAUUACUUCGAAAGUCAAGGUCACGCGUAAAUGUGAAAUGGCAAGUUUCUUUUAGGGUUGUGUGAAAUACCAAGUGGUAUUUGCUAAUGAGCCGAUUGGCUCACGCGUUUGCGGAGUUAUUGCAUCAAGUUUUUCUUUACAAGGAUGAUAAAAAGUCAGAUUUCAAAAACAAAGUUACUUCCAAAGUCAAAGUGCUUUUUCUCGCAAUUACAUGGGCGACGCACGCGCAGACACGCAUGCGCCAACGUGAAAUAUCAAGAAGUAUUUGCUAGUGAGCCGAUUGGCUCACACGAUUGCGAUGUUUGUGCAUCGAGUUUUCUUUACAAGGAUAAUGGAGGUCCAUUUUCAACAGCAAGGUUGCCUCCAAGGUCAAGGUGCUUCUUUAUGCAGUUACAACACACACGUAGACACGCACACACGCACUCAGAACCUUAUAAAUUUGGAGAAUUUUUUUCCUUUUCUUUUUGAGGCAACCUUGCUGUUGAAAACUAAAGUUGAGAGAGAGUUUAGUCCCACCCUGAAAGUUGAGAGUUGCACCUCUUUAUAAAGUGAGCUCUUCUACCACUUGUAUGAGCAUGAGAAGAGGAGACCCAAUUCUCACAGACUACGACGUUAAUAGUCAAAUUCAUAUAGGUGUGUUCCUUAGAAGAUGUUCUGCAGGACAACAUCUCUGCUUACCCGAAUAAGCCACUUGGAACACAUUAAGAUAAGUAUCAACCUGCCAUGCAGAUCAAGAGAGUAUUGCAUCUUCACGGAGUGGGAUAAUUAAUAUAGGGAUACUCUCCUCCCAGCUGACCAACAGCUUGUCUCCCACUUCUACUUCACGGGAUCUCCGAUCAUAUAGAGUGGUUUACCACUAUGGACAACUCAUGCGGUGGGUCUCAAACCCAUCUCUAUCGAUGCAUCAUCUAUCACAUUACAUGAUAGACCAUUUGUGAAGGGAUCUGCCAAGUUUUUCGACGUUUGGAUAUAAUCCAACGUAAUAAAUCCGGAGUUCCUCAAUUUUCUGACAGAUUUUAGUCUCCUCUUCACAUGCCUUGAGGACUUCAUAUUGUCCUUAGAACUGUUUAUCUUGACGAUCACAGUUUGAUUAUCACAGUUCAUCAGGAUAGGGGGGAUUGGUUUUUCAACCAUAGGUAAGUCCAUCAAGAGUUCACGAAGCCACUCUGCUUCAACAGUGGCAGUGUCUAAUGCUGUGAGUUCUGCUUCCAUAGUUGACCUUGUUAAGAUGGUCUGCUCGCAAGACUUCCAGGAAACAGCACCACCACCAAGUGUAAAAACAUAACCACUUGUGGCCUUAAUCUCAUUAGCAUCAGAUAUCCAGUUUGAGUCACUAUAACCCUCCAGUACCCUUGGAUACCCGGUGUAGUGAAUCCCAUAGCUCGCGGUGCCUUUCAAAUAGCGCAUAACUCUCUUAAGCACAUGCCAAUGAUCAUCUCCCAGUUUUGACACAAACCAACUCAGCUUGCUCACAGCAAAAGAGAUGUCAGGCCUCGUGGCACUCGCCAAAUACAUAAGCGAGCCAAUAAUCUGAGAAUACCUCAGUUGAUCUCUAGCAAUCCGUCGAUUCUUUCGAAGCAACACACUAGCAUCAUAUGGAGUUGGAGAAGGCGUGCAGUCGCUAUACCCAAAACAACUCAAGACCUUUUCCACAUAAUGAGACUGAAGCAGUGUGAUCCCACCAUUCUCAUCUCUCAACAGCUUGAUGUUUAAGUUAACAUCAGUUACUCCUAGAUCCUUCAUCUCAAAACAGCGAGAUAAGAAAUCCUUAACCUCCUUGAUUAAAUCAAGUUUGGUUCCAAAGAUCAAUAUGUCGUCGACAUACAGACAAAGAAUAACUCCUUCGCCCCCAUGCUACGUCUCGAGCUAGCGUUGGUUUUCUCCGAAGAGGAGGGGGUGAUGCAGCACAGUAGCGUAAGUAUUUCCCUCAGUUUUUGAGAACCAAGGUAUCAAUCCAGUAGGAGGUCACGCGCAAGUCCCUCGUACCAACACAAAACGGUAGCAACUCGCAACCAACGCUUAGGGGUUGUCAAUCCCUUCACGGUCACUUACGAGAGUGAGAUCUGAUAGAGAUAAUAUUUUUGGUAUUUUUGGUAUAAAGAUGCAAAGUAAAAAGUAAAAGCAAAACAAGUAAAAUAAAUUAAUGGAGAUUGAUAUGAUGAGAAUAGACCCGGGGGCCAUAGGUUUCACUAGUGGCUUCUCUCAAGAGCAUAGAUAUUCUACGGUGGGUGAACAAAUUACUGUUGAGCAAUUGAUAGAAUUGAGCAUAGUUAUGAGGUUAUCUAGUUAUGAUCAUGUAUAUAGGCAUCACGUCCGUGACAACUAGACCGACUCCUGCCUGCAUCUACUACUAUUACUCCACUCAUCGACCGCUAUCCAGCAUGCAUCUAGAAUAUUAAGUUAAAAACAGAGUAACACCUUAAGCAAGAUGACAUGAUGUAGAGGAAUAAAUUCAUGCAAUAUGAUAAAUACCCCAUCUUGUUAUCCUCGAUGGCAACAAUACAAUACGUGCCUUGCAACUCUUUCUGUCACUGAGUAAGGACACCGCAAGAUUGAACCCAAAGCUAAGCACUUCUCCCAUUGCAAGAACUACCAAUCUAGUUGACCAAACCAAACGGAUAAUUCGAAGAGACUUGCAAAGAUAACUCAAUUAUACAUAAAAGAAUUCAGAGAAGAUUCAAAUAUUAUUCAUAGAUAAGUUGGAUCAUAAACCCACAAUUCAUUGGUCUUAACAAACACACCGCAAAAAGAAGAUUACAUCGAAUAGAUCUCCACGAGAGAGGGGGAGAACAUUGUAUUGAGAUCCAAAAAGAGAGAAGAAGCCAUUUAGCUACUAGCUAUGGACCCGAAGGUCUGAAGUAAACUACUCACACUUCAUCGGAAGGGCUAUAGUGUUGAUGUAGAAGCCCUCCGUGAUGGAUGCCCUCUCUGGCAGAGCUCCGGAACAGGCCCCAAAAUGGGAUCUCGUGGAUACAGGAAGUUGCGGCGGUGGAAUUAGGUUUUUGGCUCCCUCCCUGGUCUAAUGGGGGUAUGUAGGUAUAUAUAGGAGGAAGGAGCACGUCGGUGGAGCUCCGAGGGGCCCACGAGGCAGGGGCGCACCCAGGGGGCGCCCUCCACCCUCGUGACCUCCCCGGAAACUUCUUGGAGUAGGGUCCAAGUCUACUGAAUCACGUUCGGUGAGAAGAUCACGUUCCCGAAGGUUUCAUUCCGUUUGGACUCCGUUUGAUAUUCUGUUUCCUAGAAAUACUGAAAUAGGAAAAAAACAGCAAUUCUGGGCCGGGCCUCCGGUUAAUAGGUUAGUCUUAAAAAUAAUAUAAAAGUGAAAAAUAAAACCCAAUAUAGUCCAAAAUAGUAGAUAAAGUAGCAUGGAACAAUCAAAAAUUAAAGAUACGUUGGAGACGUAUCAGACAUCCCCAAGCUUAAUUCCUGCUCGUCCUCGAGUAGGUAAAUGAUAAAAAGAGAAUUUUUGAUGCGGAGUGAUACUUUGGCAUAAUUUCAAUGUAAAUCUUCUUAAUCAUGGUAUGAAUAUUCAGAUCCGAAAGGUUCAAGACAAAAGUUCAUAUUGACAUAAAAAUGAUAAUACUUCAAGCAUACUAAUCAAACAAUUAUGUCAUCUCAAAAUAACAUGGCCAAAGGAAGUUCAUCCCUACAAAAUCAUAUAGUUAGGCUAUGCUUCAUUUUCGUCACACAAAGAUGUUCCCAACUUUUAUACCCCCGAUGACAAGCCAAGCAAUUGUUUCAUACUCAAAUAAUCUCAAACUUUUUCAACCUUCACGCAAUACAUGAGCGCGAGCCAUGGACAUAGCACUAUGGGUGGUAUAGAAUAUGAUGAUGGGGAUUGUGUGGAGAAGACAAAAAAGGAGAAAGUCUCACAUCAACGAGGCUAAUCAAUGAGCUAUGGAGAUGCCCAUCAAUUGAUGUUAAUGCAAGGAGUAGGGAUUGCCAUGCAACGGAUGCACUAGAGCUAAGAAUGCUCAACAAAAGAAAACUAGUGGGUGUGCAUCCAACUUGCUUGCUCAUGAAGACCUAGGGCAUUUUGAGGAAGCUCAUCGUUGGAAUAUACAAGCCAAGUUCUAUAAUGAAAAAUUCCCACUAGUAUGAAUAAGACAACUUAUGAGACUCACUAUAUGAAAAUCAUGGUGCUACUUUGAAGCACAAUAUAUGAGACUCACUACAUGAAGAACAAGGUGCUACUUUGAAGCACAAGUGUGGAAAAAAGAGAUAGUAGCAUUGCCCUUUUUAUUUUCUCUUUUUUGGGGGGCCUUUCUUUUUUUUUUUGGCCUUUCUCUCUCUUUUUUUGAUUGGGCAAUGCUCUAAUAAUGAUGAUCAUCACACUUCUAUUGAUUACAACAUAAUGAUUACAACUCGAUACUAGAACAAGAUAUGACUCUAUAUGAAUGCCUCCGGUGGUGUACCAUGAUGGUGCAAUGAAUCAAGAGUGACAUGUAUGAAAAAUAAUGCAUGGUGGCUUUGCCACAAAUACGAUGUCAACUACAAGAUCAUGCAAUGACAAUAUGACAAAAGUAAAGCAUGUCAUGAUGAUGAUGAUGAUGAUGGAAGUUGCAUGGCAAUAUAUCUCGGAAUGGCUAUGGAAAUGCCAUGAUAGAUAGGUAUGGUGGCUGUUUUGAGGAAGGUAUAGGGAGGUUUAUGUGUGAAAGAGCGUGUCAUAUCAUGGGGUUUGGAUGCACCGGCGAAGUUUGCACCAACUCUCAAUGUGAGAAAGGGUAAUGCACGGUACCGAAGAGGCUAGCAAAUGGCGGAAAGGUAAAAGUGCGUAUAAUCCAUGGACUCAACAUUAGUCAAAAGAACUCAUAUACUUAUUACAAAAAUUUAGAAGUCAUCAAAAAUCAAGCACUACGCGCAUGCUCCUAGGGGGAUAGAUUGGUAGGAAAAGACCAUCGCUCGUCCCCGACCGCCACUCAUAAGGAUGCACAAGCCAGGUACACUUCAUGCUUUAAAUUUGUUACACAAUUUUAACCAUACGUGCAUGCUACGGGACUUGCUAACUUCAACACAAGUAUUUCUCAGAUUCACAACUACUCAACUAGCACGACUAUGAUAUUAUCACCUCCAUAUCUCAAAACAAUUAUCAAGUAUCAAACUUAUCUUAGUAUUCAACCCACUAAAAAGAAAGUUUCACAUAUCUUGAAUACCAAGUAUAUUAACAUUAAGCAAAUUACCAUGCUAUUAACGACUCUCAAAAUAAUCUAAGUGAAGCAUGAGAGAUCAAGUUUCUUUAAAACAAACCACCACCGUGCUCUAAAAGAUCUAAGUGAAGCACUAGAGCAAAAAUUAUCAUGCUCAAAAAGAUAUAAGUGAAGCACAUAGAGUAAACUAUCAAGCUCAAAAGAUAUAAGUGAAGCACAUAGAGUAUUCUACCAAAUUUCAAUUCAUGCAUGGCUCUCUCAAAAGGUGUGUACAGCAAGGAUGAUUGUGGUAGACUAACAAGAAAAGACACAAAUAAUACAAGAUGCUCCAAGCAAAACACAUAUCAUGUGGUGAAUAAAAAUAUUGCUCCAAGUAAAUUACCGAUGGAAGUGGACGAAAGAGGGGAUGCCUUCCGGGGCAUCCCCAAGCUUUGACUUUUUGGUAUCGUUGGAUUAUCUUGGGGGUGCCAUGGGCAUCCCAAGCUUAGGCUCUUGCCACUCCUUGUUCCAUAAUCCAUCAAAAGAAUUCACCCAAAACUUGAAAACUUCACAACACAAAACUCAAUAGAAAUCUCGUGAGCUCCGUUAGAGAAAGAAAAUAAAAGACUACUUUAAGGUACUGUAGUGUACUUGUUCUUUAUUUGUAUUGGUGUUAAACCUACUGUAUUCCAAUUUCUCUAUGGUUUAUAAACUAUUUUACUAGCCAUAGAUUUAUCAAAAUAAGCAAAUAACACACGCAAAACAGAAUCUGUCAAAAACAGAACAGUCUGUAGUAAUCUGUUACUAACGCAAACUUCUAGAACCCAAAAAAUUCUACCAAAAUUAGACGACCUGGGCAAUUUGUUUAUUGAUCAGCAGCAAUUGGAAUCACUAUUUUAUCACGUUCUGGUGAUUUUUGACAAUUCGGGCACUGAGCGCAAAGAUUCUGGAAAUUACAGCAAGAUCAAAUAACUAUCUUUCAAGAAGAUCUAAUAGGUUUAACUUGGCACAAACACUAAUUAAAAGAUAAAACCACAUCUAAACAGAAUAUAAAUGGAUUAUUUAUUCCUAAACAGAACCAAAAACAAAAAAUACAAAAUAAAAUUGGGUUGCCUCCCAACAAGCGCUAUCGUUUAACGCCCCUAGCUAGGCAUAAAAGCAAGGAUAGGUCUAGGUAUUGCCAUCUUUGGUAGGCAAUUCUUCAAUGAGGCAUCCACCUCCUUUAGAAUUUUCUUUCUUUCUAGUGAUUAUCAAACUUUUAGGCAUAAGAUCGAAAAAUUCAUCCGUGGCAAAUGGUUCCUUAAUGAGUGUAAAAAGAUCGGGGUGAAUACUUAUAGAUUUAAGAUCCGCAUUUUCCUUACUAGAUGAUUCACCCUUAUUUUUAGGAACAUACAUAAACUUGGCAAUUUUAGUGGGAGGACUAGGAGUAAUUUUUACGGAAGAAAAAGCAGUUCCCAAGUUGGUAAUGAUACCCUCAAGUUUAUCGAUUCGAGUAGAGUCUAGAUUUAUUUUUUUCAUUAACAAUGGGUUCCUUCUCCUUAAUAUUUUUCAAAGUCACUCCUACCUUAGAUCCAUAUUGAGUAAUUUGAUUAUGAAUCUUUUUAUCUAGAUUUUCAAUGGAUUCAAUGGUAGCAACUUUGUUUUCAAUAAUUUCAAGCAUUUGCAUAACAUGCUCCAAGGUUAACACAGUUCCAUUAACCAAAAGGGGAGGUGAGCCAAAUAAAUCUAUUAAAGCAUUAUAGGAAUCAAAAGUAUGGCUACCCAAAAAAUUCCCUCCGGUAAUGGUAUCAAGGAUAUAUCUAUACCAAGGAUUAGCACCUACAUAAAAAUUGUGAAGAAGGACUGAAGUAGAUUGCUUUCUGGUAGAUCUAUUUUGAGCAUUGCAAAUUCUAUACCAAGCAUCUUUUAGAUUUUCUCCCUCCCUUUGUUUAAAAUUUAGCACUUCAUUCUCGGGAGAUAACGGAGAAGAUAAGGAAUUCGACAUAGCGACAGGUAAGCAAACUAACACACGAGCAAACAAAAGGCAAAGGGAAAGAGAGGGCGAAUAAAGCGGCAAAGGUGAAGUGGGGGAGAGGAAAACGAGAGGCAAAUGGCAAAUAAUGUAAUGCGAGAGAUAGAGAUUGUGAUGGGUACUUGGUAUGUUGACUUUUGCGUAGGCUUCCCCGGCAACGGCGCCAGAAAUGGCUCGUUGACGGGAGAGUAAAUCUUGACUUGACUUGGCAUAGGCCUCCCCGGCAACGGCGCCAGAAAUGGCUCGUUGACGGGAGAGUAAAUCUUGACUUGACUUGGCGUAGGCCUCCCCGACAACGGCGCCAGAAAUCCUUCUUGCUAUGUCUCGAGCUAGCGUUGGUUUUCCCCGAAGAAGAGGGGGUGAUGCAGCACAGUAGCGUAAGUAUUUCCCUCAGUUUUUGAGAACCAAGGUAUCAAUCCAGUAGGAGGUCACGCGCAAGUCCCUCGUACCUGCACAAAACGGUAGCAACUCGCAACCAACACUUAGGGGUUGUCAAUCCCUUCAUGGUCACUUACGAGAGUGAGAUCUGAUAGAGAUAAUUUUUUUGGUAUUUUUGGUAUAAAGAUGCAAAGUAAAAAGUAAAAGCAAAACAAGUAAAAUAAAGUAAUGGAGAUUGAUAUGAUGAGAAUAGACCCGGGGGCCAUAGGUUUCACUAGUGGCUUCUCUCAAGAGCAUAGAUAUUCUACGGUGGGUGAACAAAUUACUGUUGAGCAAUUGAUAGAAUUGAGCAUAGUUAUGAGGUUAUCUAGGUAUGAUCAUGUAUAUAGGCAUCACGUCCGUGACAAGUAGACCGACUCCUGCCUGCAUCUACUACUAUUACUCCACUCAUCGACUGCUAUCCAGCAUGCAUCUAGAGUAUUAAGUUAAAAACAGAGUAACGCCUUAAGCAAGAUGACAUGAUGUAGAGGAAUAAAUUCAUGCAAUAUGAUAAAUACCCCAUCUUGUUAUCCUUGAUGGCAACAAUAUAAUACGUGCCUUGCAACUCUUUCUGUCACUGAGUAAGGACACCGCAAGAUUGAACCCAAAGCUAAGCACUUCUCCUAUUGCAAGAACUACCAAUCUAGUUGGCCAAACCAAACGGAUAAUUCGAAGAGACUUGCAAAGAUAACUCAAUCAUACAUAAAAGAAUUCAGAGAAGAUUCAAAUAUUAUUCAUAGAUAAGUUGGAUCAUAAACCCACAAUUCAUCGGUCUCAACAAACACACCGCAAAAAGAAGAUUACAUCGAAUAGAUCUCCACGAGAGAGGGGGAGAAUAUUGUAUUGAGAUCCAAAAAGAGAGAAAAGGCCAUCUAGCUACUAGCUAUGGACCCUAAGGUCUGAAGUAAACUACUCACACUUCAUCGGAAGGGCUAUGGUGUUGAUGUAGAAGCCCUCCAUGAUGGAUGCCCUCUCCGGCGGAGCUCCGGAACAGGCCCCAAGAUGGGAUCUCGUGGAUACAGGAAGUUGCGGUGGUGGAAUUAGGUUUUUGGCUCCCUCCCUGGUCUAAUGGGGGUACGUAGGUAUAUAUAGGAGGAAGGAGCACGUCGGUGGAGCUCCGAGGGGCCCAUGAGGUAGGGGGGCGCGCCCAGGGGGGCGCCCUCCACCCUCGUGACCUCCCCGGUAACUUUUUGGAGUAGGGUCCAAGUCUCCUGGAUCAUGUUUGGUGAGAAGAUCACGUUCCCGAAGGUUUCAUUCCGUUUGGACUCCGUUUGAUAUUCUGUUUCCUCGAAAUACUGAAAUAGGGAAAAAACAGCAAUUCUGGGCUGGGCCUCCAGUUAAUAGGUUAGUCCCAAAAAUAAUAUAAAAGUGGAAAAUAAAGCCCAAUAUAGUCCAAAACAGUAGAUAAAAUAGCAUGGAGCAAUCAAAAAUUAUAGAUACGUUGGAGACGUAUCACCCCACCAUAGCGAUAGUACACGCACUUGUCACCAUCGUUUACUACAAAGCCGGCAGCAGUUAAUGUUCUUUCGAACUUCUCAUGCCACUCCUUAGGAGCUUGUUUAAGGCCAUAUAAAGACUUUAAUAACUUGCACACCUUUCCUUCUUGACCAGGUACUACAAAACCAUCUGGCUGAUCCAUGUAAAUUUCCUCCUUCAACUCUCCAUUGAGGAAAGCCGUCUUAACGUCCAUUUGAUGAACGAGAAGACCAUGUGAGGCAGCCAGUGAUAGUAGCACCCGAAUUGUGGUCAGUCUAGCCACGGGUGAGUAAGUAUCAAAGAAGUCUUCACCUUCUUCCUGGGUAUAACCCUUGGCCACAAGCCGUGCCUUAUACUUUUCAAUCAUACCAUCAGGUGUAAGCUUCUUCUUGAACACCCACUUACAUCCUACAGGUUUGCACCCAUAAGGACGGUCAGUGAUCUCCCAGGUACCGUUAGCUAAGAUGGAAUCCAUCUCGCUAUGUAUAGCUUCCUUCCAGUAGUCAGCAUCAGGAGAUGCAUAGGCUUCUGAAAUAGUCCUGGGUGUGUCAUCCACGAGGUACACAAUGAAAUCAUCACCAAAAGACUUUGUAGUGCUCUGUCUCUUACUCCUCAUAGGAGUUCCAUUGUUACCCUCAACAGGAUUCUCAACGUGUUCCAUCGCAAUGGUGGGUUCAGGAAUUACAGUGAAUUCCUCACUAGAUGGAGUAGGUAUCUCCUGAUUUGAUGAACUCGACAUAUCCUUCAUAGGAAAUAUGUCCUCAAAGAAAAUUGCAUCAUUUGAUUCCAUAAUCGUACCAACAUGCAUGUCGGAUACCUCAGAUUUUAUUAUCAAAAAUCUAUAGCCGAUGCUAUGAAAAGCAUAGCCCAGAAGAACACAAUUCACGGUUUUUGGUCCAAGCUUGCGCUUCUUGGGAAUUGGUAUAUUGACUUUCGCCAAACAACCCCAAGUACGUAGGUAAGAGAGUUUCAACAUUUUCCUUUCCCAUUCCUCAAAUGGAGUCAUGGUCUUAUGCUUUGUAGGAACUCGGUUUAGGACAUGACACGCAGUCAUUAGCGCCUCCCCCCACAAUUCCUUGGAUAGACCCGAAGUGUCUAACAUGGUGUUAACCAUAUCAGUUAGAGUUCGGUUAUUUCUUUCGACUACCCCAUUUGACUGGGGUGAGUAGGGAGGCGUCCUCUCAUGGAUUAUACCAUGUUCCACAUAAAACAGAUCAAAUUCAUUGGAAAAAUACUCUCCACCACGAUCGGACCUAAGCCGUUUAAUUUUUCGAUCAAGUUGGUUCUCUACCUCAGCUUUAUAGUUUUUAAAGAAAGUCAAAGCCUCAUCUUUUGAUUUCAGAAGAUACACAUAACAAUAUCUAGUGGAGUCAUCAAUCAACGUCAUGAAGUAUCUCUUUCCACCUUUUGUCAACACGCCAUUCAUCUCACAAAGAUCAGAAUGUAUAAGCUCUAGUGGCGCCAAGUCUCUUGCCUCUGCAGUCUUAUGGGACUUGCGAAGUUGCUUAGUUUGCACACAUACUUGGCACUUCGAGCCUUUGACAGUAGAGAUUUUCGGAAUUAAAUUCAUAUUGGCUAACCGCGUCAUGCAACCAAAGUUAAUAUGACAGAGUCGUGAAUGCCAAAUAUCAGACUCAUUAUUGUGGCAAACAUUAUUAAUAACUUUAGUGCAAAUAUCUGACAAAGAUAGGCGGAACAAGCCUCCGCACUCAUAGCCUUUUUCAACAAAUUGUCCACACUUAGAAAUUACAACUUUAUUCGAUUCGAAAACCAAUUUAAAACCAUCUCGACAUAAACGGGAACCGCUAACGAGAUUUUUAUUGAUGGACGGCACAUGAUGAACGUUCUUCAGACGCACAGUCUUCCCCGAAGUAAACUUCAGAUCGACCGUACCAACACCUCGAACGAUGGCAUGUGACCCGUUCCCCAUCAGCACGGGUGAAGUCCCUGUUGCCUGAUAAGAAGAAAAUAUGAAGGCGUCAGCACAAACAUGUACAUUGGCACCGGUGUCAAUUAACCAAUCAGGGGAUUGAAAUACUGAAAGGAUGGUAGGAAAAAUACCGUACCCUGAUUCCUUCAUAUCAGUAUCACCGAUGACAACAUUAGCGGACUUGCCGCUCUUCUCAUGUUCGCGCUCCUCAAAACGGUUAGGACACUUCGGAGCCCAGUGAUUAGGAUCACCGCAGACAUGCCAAAGUCCCUUCCCCUUUUUAUGAGAAUUCUUCUUGAAGUUGGUAGAAUAUGAUGGCUUGUUCUUUAUAUCAAACUUGUCUUUACCCUGAGUUUUGUUCUUAUUGUUUUUGAACUUGUUGGGCUGGGAGUUUUUCUUCUGUACCAUGUGGGCACUAGAACCUUCCUCAGCAACGCGAGCACGUGUGUCCUUUGCUCUCGCCUUCUCUUCAACAUCAAGACUACCAAUGAGAUCCGCAACGGAAAACUCCUGUCUCUUGUGUUUCAGGGGAGUAGCAAAAUUCUUCCACGAAGGUGGAAGCUUGGCAAUGAUGCCUCCGGCAACACACACUUGAAGUACUCAAGUUCUUUUGCGAGCGACUGUAUCUCAUGAGCCUGCUGUACAACAGGGCGCUCAUCAGUCAUCUUGUAGUCAUAGAAUUGCUCCAUGACGUACAACUCGUUGCCGGCGUCCGAGGCACCAAACUUGGCCUCGAGCGCAGCCCACAUGUCCUUGCCGUUGUCAAACGACAUAUACGAAUCCACAAUGGAGUCAUCAAGAACACUCAGAAGAGCGCCUUUAAAGAGGGUAUCGAUCUUCUCAAAAGCUUCCAGCUGUGCUGGAUUAAGAUCGCCCUCAGGCUUGCCCUUGAUGGCAUCAUAGCAGCCCAUGGUCUGAAACCAGUAGACUGCUCUCGUGUGCCACCUCUUAUAUUGCGGCCCCUUAAAAGCAGGCGGCUUCAGAUGCGCAGUAAAACCACUCGGAGUAAAUUGCCUAUAAUCAGGUUUUUGGAUUGUUGGAAAUAUGAGCAAAUUACUACGAGAUUUAAUCCGAAUAAACAAAAGAUAAAUCAUGACCACAACAGCAGAGAUUAAACUAAUCAUGCGAACUAGCAUAGCAGAUGAACAUAUCACAUCUAGGACACAUACUAGAAGCAUGAAUUCUACCACGAUCUUGAACAUGAAGGAUAGAAUCACAUACGGUGCAGCGGGUGCAGCACCGCCGGUGUUGACGUUGUCGCCCAUGUCGUCGAGGACGAGGUUGCCGAGGUCGGGGAAGAAGUCGUCGUUCGCGAAGUCGUCGCUACCAGCAGUCGCGCGAGUGCGCUCCCCAAAAACCUGAUCGCCCCUCUCCCGUACAGGAUCAUGAGAGGCGGGGUUCCGGAGGCCUGUUGUCCCUUCUCGCGGUGCACGCCGGAAGGAGGGAUGGAGAAGACUUGCUUGGUGGCGCAAUGAUCUGGAACGGUGUGGUGAGAAACCAUACGAAGCGGCGGCGGCUAGGGUAGACGUCUGCCUGACUAUAUAGUGCGGGUCGGGUAGGUCGUGGGAGUAAACCCCACGUCCGAGUCGUCACGAUCCAAAAGAAUCGAAAACAGUUCAGUAAUUAACGCAUCCGUUAAUUAUCAAUUAAUGACUCAUUAAUUUUCCCAUGCAGCAAAAAUAUAGACAACGUGCAUAGCUCUGCCCUCGGCUCGGCUCAAUCCCGCAACCCGCGGCGCGGCGCGGCGCGGCGCGUCGUGACGAGGCGUGGCGAGGCGAGCGAGUGUAAGUCUCCUCUUCUCAUGCUCAUACAAGUGGUAGAAGAGCUCACCUUAUAAAGAGGUGCAACUCUCUCUCAACUUCUGGGGUGGGACUAAACUUUAACCUCACUCACUCCGUUCACAUGUGUGCAUGAAUGGUCCAAGAGAAUUUCAGAAUUUUAGUUGGGCUUUGAGCCAAAGUCCUACUAGCAAAAUUCCAACAGGUUCAGCCCAUCAACCUGUGAAAGUAAACACCUGUGACUUUGCAAUGUUUAGUUGAGGUAAGGGUAUCCUCAAAAAAAAAAAAGUUGAGGUAAGGGUGGAGAAAAUAACCAUCGAGCGAAUGUGACCACUCAUUCCAAGAUGGUUUACUGAUUUACGUGCGUGGUUCUUCCUGUACGAUCGGACCGAAUGUGCGAGUGUCAAAUCAUCAAACAUCGUCAUCUUUCUCACCGAAAGAUCGAUAGCCCACACUGUCUCGUCAUUUCGUGAUGUACGUCGUUGCCUGAUAUACAUCUUUUUUUUCUGCUUAGUAAAUAAAACUUACAAAACUAACAAGAGGUUGUACAUUGUGUAUGUGUGCACGCGCGCAUCGUGGGGCACUUAUAAGAAGAACAUCUUUCUAGAAAAAUAGACAUAAAAUAGAGCUCCUUGUUUUGAUCAUUUGAUGAUAGCAUCAACCAGCUAAGAUUAGUUGCCUACAUAAUUAAUACCUUCGGAAUGAAAUGAUUGGUUUGGUGCUGAUCAAUGGAGCGCACGUUGUCCUCACCAAUUCUAUAUAGGGCCGUUGGUAGAUGAUUGGGUUGCUAUCAGCGUUUCUCCAUCAAAAUUUUGGGUUUACGACAGAACGAAACGAGAAAGAAAUCACACUAACACAGACGGUUGGAAAAACAAGAGAAAUUGCUACUAUCAAGCUAUCUCUUCCAUGUGUUCUUCAUGCACAUUGUUUGGCUUGCAAGUUUUGGUCUCCUGCCUGUUAUGUUAGCUAGAAGGAGAUAAAGUUCUUGGUCCCCUACGAAAAAUAGGUUUACUUGGGAGGACAAUGGUGUACAGCAUAACCCAAACCUUUCUCAAAACCUAAAGCUCCACACGUUCACAUUGCUCCAUUUGGUCCAUAGGGUAUACCUAACGUGCCAAAUCUUUCCAAAACCUAAUGUGCCGUUCCUUUCCUUCUCAAAAUGUCCACCUUGUUCCAUAAGAUAAAUCCAAAGAUUUCCAACCUAAACCGAGCCCUUCCAAAACCCAACGCUCCACUCCUCCAACGUUCAUAUUCUUUGGACAGAAGAUACACACGAUUGCACCUGUCUCGUUCCUAACAACCAUGUGGAAGAGUGUGAUUAUGUGGGUAGACAUGCAGCUCUGAAUCAAACCGACAAAAAGAAGCCCCUGCCUGAAAGCAAGAGUUCAAUGGAAAUAUGGACUGGUCGCAACGAUGGAUGGUCCCUAAAAACUUACUCUCAAGACCAAGUUAAUUUAUGAUUUUCAUAGUAACUUUGUCGAAACUCAUGUUUCAUUCCUUACUAAACUGGAGUCACUAUCUAAUUAUAAGAAACUCAUUUCAAACAUGCAACAAAUCUGUUGAAUACUUGAAUUAUUGUGCCUCCUUUUUAAGGCAUAAUUUGUGAUUGCCGAACUGUGUUUUUAGGACAAUUUCAUAAUUACCAUGUAAAAUUAGUCACAAAAGUAGACAAAAGUGGUUCAAACACACGCUCGAAUAGGCAAAAACAGAUUAGGCAACACAAGGUUAUCAUAAACCACCACAAUACCAAACUUAGCAAGUAAAGCUGACUUUUUCCUAGACAAGGAAAAUGCAACGCGUAUAUGACAACGAUGUCAGAACAAGCCAGUAAAGGCAAGAACACGAGUUUUCAUCUAGAGAUCACCUCCAGAAACCGAAGAUAACGCCAUCAAGGAGAUGACGUAAGAGCAAUGUCGUUACCAAGUCUAGCCGAUAAAGACCAUAUCGAGUCUUUUGGCUUGGCGCACAAAAUCUAACAUCACUUGAUCCAACCAAUGAAGGCAGACUUAUUCCCGACGAUUGCGUCAAUGUGCAUCUAGAUUUGGCAUCAUCCGAUGACAUGCUAUGAAGGGGUCGCCACUCCGCCCUCGAUGCCCCUGCGACUACCCAUCGGUGCCACCGCCCUGGCUUCCAUGCCAUAAUCCACCGUGAGACAUCCUCUAACGGGCAACCACCAUGAAGGGAGAUCAACAAGAGCCCUACCACCGCCAUCCGUCGCAAGAUCUUUGCUCAUGGCAUCCCCCGGCGGAGGAGGAGGAGGAGGUUGGAGGGAGGUAUGGUAGAGACGCUAACUUCCUUAACUCCAUUUUUUAUGUAAUAAAAAAGAUAGAGAAAUGUGCCAACCAAUCUCUGUAUCUAAAAAUGUACACGACCAACGAAUAUUAUUGACCUUCUGAACGAUGAUAAACAAACCCAUAUUUCCAUUGUUCUAGGCCGUGAGUUGCCAACAAACAUCCCGAUCCUGCCCGGAAUAUUAUCCACCGAAUGACAUCUGAUCCGAUCCCAUUUAACAAGAGCAAACUUGCCAAAAACAAGUCCGUUGGUUCGAUCAAAGCCUCGUCAGGUCCAUGGAAAACGGGCUGUGGCCAGGGUGGAAGAUUCCGGCCGGUCGGCCAGCCGCAGCCAGCCGCGGUGUGGUACAGAGCUACGUGACGCCGACGUACCAACCAAGCGAAGACAACCACCGUCUUCCGAGUGAAAUGAAAUCGACGACUACGUGGGUGCCAAGGCCGCUACGUGACGGCCGCGAACUCUGCUGGGCACUGUGAUAAAAAGUCGUCGAGGUGUCGUCUCCCAUGGCCUUGUUGCAUGCCCACGAAGCAUGUAGUGCUGCACAGUUGUAUAAAAACCGGAGAUGCCGCGUGGGCCACGGAGCUUAUGGUAGAUGUCAUAAAAGAUCAGUGCGCAGCUAGGCAUUUUGCUUGGCCGCUCAUCAAAGUGUUUACGAAGGCAUUGGCUCUGACAAAUGGAUAGCAAAUCUCAUGCUACAUCAGGUAAAAGUGGGCAUUGCCUAAAACCAAAGGUAAAAGUGGGCAUAGUUUUCUUACCAAUUCCUGCGCUGUGUUCGGGAGAUUCCGUUCAGCAGUCGGUUGGAAGAAGGCCUUCACUGUUCGGAAGAAAGGGGGUGCCUAAACCAGCUUGACAUAAUCAUAGACUGAAUGGGUCGUCGACAAAAUGAUUGGGAAUUUUUCCCAGACAAUUUCAAAAUUCCACCACCCGUUGGUUAAUCAAGAGGUGGUGGGUACUAGUAGCAGUACUAGCGAAGCAGCCGCCAUCAGAAAAAACAAUAGCACGAGCCAAAUCAGAAAGACAGCCGCUGCUUGCAAAGCAUGCCNNNNNNNNNNNNNNNNNNNNNNNNNNNNNNNNNNNNNNNNNNNNNNNNNNNNNNNNNNNNNNNNNNNNNNNNNNNNNNNNNNNNNNNNNNNNNNNNNNNNNNNNNNNNNNNNNNNNNNNNNNNNNNNNNNNNNNNNNNNNNNNNNNNNNNNNNNNNNNNNNNNNNNNNNNNNNNNNNNNNNNNNNNNNNNNNNNNNNNNNNNNNNNNNNNNNNNNNNNNNNNNNNNNNNNNNNNNNNNNNNNNNNNNNNNNNNNNNNNNNNNNNNNNNNNNNNNNNNNNNNNNNNNNNNNNNNNNNNNNNNNNNNNNNNNNNNNNNNNNNNNNNNNNNNNNNNNNNNNNNNNNNNNNNNNNNNNNNNNNNNNNNNNNNNNNNNNNNNNNNNNNNNNNNNNNNNNNNNNNNNNNNNNNNNNNNNNNNNNGGACAGCUAAGUUCGCCGGUGAUUCGCUCGUCUAAAGGUCACUCACCUAGCUUCAUUUCGUUGUAUUUCCUCGUGUCUGGAGCCUGAUGGGAGGUUAGUUAGGUGGUCGCCAAUGAUUGAGGAUUACCUGGCUGUGAUGGGAGGAGCUGGCUGGCCACAUUGGUGGCCUUCAGGUGAGAUGGACACGGGAACUCCAUCACAUGCCCCGGUUCAAGCAGCGGCCCCAUCCCUGCCCGGCGAUCCCUGUUGGGGAAGCUGUAGCAUUUCUCAUGCCGCACAUGUAGAAAUCUCCUGCAUGCCAACCGCCAUCGCCGUCGGUCCAGUGCGCGAUGAGCAUGGCACCAGCACGGCGUGGUCGCAAUCGCUACAGGCGGCUACAGGCAAGAACUCGGGGCAGUAUGUUAGUUCAGAGAAUUGAUGAAAUGAAAAUACCAGAACUUACCAUCAACUUCUAGCAUCAUGCCUCAUGGCUCCAUGCUCAAGAUAUUGCAAUGGGGCCUUUCAAGGCAAAUGCACCCCUCGUAUCUUUAUUCUAGAAUGUUAUAAUGUCACAAAGGCACAAAUUAAGUUGCAAACGAGGGCAUUCCGUGCCACAUUAUUAUAGGAACAAAGAGCUUGGUAGCCAUUCGCUGGGCAUUUGAAGAAUGAAAGAACAGAUAGCUAUGGACUAGAUUCCCUCGAGACUUCUUAUCCUCAGCUAAAUGACUAGCAACUUCAGUCUACUUACAUGUGGAACAGUGGAAACAAAGUGUGCCAUUAUUAGACAAAGUUCUAUAUACCAGUUGCAACUGUAGCUUCCGUCGAUCGAUUUCACAGAGAUGCGCCCGACUCCCAGCUCAAGAGUUUGUCACGCUUUGCAGCAGGCGUUGUCUAGGGCUCGGAGGGUAAGAUCAGCAUACUGUUUUUACCAACCGACAAGUCACCAAAAUGAGUCGAAACUGACAUUAUUCUCAUGCUUCCUUCAGACUCUGGCUUGUCUACUCCAAUCUAUGGGCUUGCCUUGAGCAAGAUGGAAGAGAAUGGAGCAAUUCUAUACCCUGAUCCAGUAAGUGGCACCCCUUCCGGUGCAAUAUCGUUUGGUGAUUCCAGGUUGGUAUCCACCUGCAAUAAGGACACAAUAGCAGUUUCAGGCUAAUUAUCCAUUAAACUUGUACUCCGUCCAAUCCAUAUUAAUUGACGCUGCUCUAGUACAAAGUUAGUACAACAUUAUACUAUAGCAGCGUCAAUUAAUAUGGAUCGAAGGGAGUAGCAAGUUCAGAACUAAGCCACUUGCUUCCAGAAAAUUGCAAAAAUCUGUCUUUCUCGGAAAACAUUGUGGAAAAAAAUCAGUAGAUUUAUCCAGGCAAUAGAUGUAGUAGCACGGGAGGAACUAGACAGUAAGACCACCGAGUUACAAAAAGUUAGCAAGACCAAAAGUAUGCAUACCACACGGUUCCAGUGUUUAUGUUGAGGGGCUGGGGGAAUCACAGCAUCCACAGAAUAGUCAUGGGCAUUGAAUGCCAAAUAGAUAUCUCCACCAGAAUUAUGGUCGUGUAUCCUACAUUAAUUGCCAAACAAAACAGUUGAGAAGACAAGAACCCAUUGGCCAUUGCAACCAAAUUACAACAAUACUAUCAUAUGGUCAGAAUGAAUUACACGAUCAAAACUGAAAGCCAAACUUCCUUACGUGAAUGCCAAGAAUUUGCUUUCCAGGUUAUCCCAACAAUCCUCGUGCCAAGUGACAUCAUUCUACAAUCAAGAAAGAUCAGAAUGCAAUGAAAAUCUUUGGAAGAAAAAUCAAACCAAGAGUUGCAUACUUGCAUCCUACAAAAGCUAGGAAUUGUCGUUUCUAACAUGCAAUGCACAAUAAGAGACCAGGGAGAUCACAUACUUAGCAAAUGCUCGACAGAAACUAAUAACCAUAUUUCAGUAAAGGAAGAAAUGUUUAUUUUCAAUACGCCACUGCAAGAACACUAAGAAUUUGAACAUACUUUACUGAGAAACCUGUCCCGUUUCAGUAUUGGGUGGUUCUGACGAAACUUAAUCAUCUCUGAGAAAAACCUGAAAUGGCCAUAUCUUCUUUCCGCCAACUGUAUCACACGGACACGGGGGGAAACAAGUUAGCAUAUAGAUGUGGCACAUCCAUAACACAUUUUGAAUGGAAAACCAAAAUAAUAUGUAACCUGUCCCCACUGGAAAUUAUUUAUGCAGGUAUCAUGUCCAUAGCUAUUAUUGUUUCCAUAACGUGUAUGACCAUAUUCAUCUCCCAUCAACAUCAUCGGGGUGCCCUGUUACAAAAAAAUGUACACAAUUAGCAAUUUUUACAUUAUGCAAUACCACGUAAAAGACCAACUGUGGAGUGAUCAACAAUAAUUACUUGAGAAAUCAUUAAUGCCACAUGGAAGUUCUUCAUUUGUCUCGAACGCAGAGCCAAUACAUUUGAAUCAUUUGUUUCUCCUGUUUGGCAACAAGACCAAAAUAGGUUGUUACCAACAGUUAAUAUGUCAAAUCUUUCAAAAACAAGCAUCGAAUAUAUCAAUAUUUACAUAACAUGAUGGCGUUAAGUGAAACAAACUCAACUAAUGUUCCCUCCAAAAUAUGAUAACCAUCCAUGGUUGUAUUUUUUCCGAGAAAACAGAAAGCUUGCAUUUCGAUGCAUUGAUAUAGAAAGAGUAGUAACCGUAGAAGCCUAAGACUACGCUGAAGCAACCGACCACUCAAGACAAGACCACAACCAACGGUCGCAAGACAGGCAUUACAACAAACAUCACCAAACCAACCCUGGCCUAGAUGCCAUCCACACAAACGGACAGAACACGAUGCCCAUCACAAGAAGAGAGAAUCCAACUCCGCAAAGAAGGGCAGAAUUGGGCUACUCCGCUUUGGAGGCGACAUAGUUGUAUUUGGUCUAAUCGUGAUACAAAAGCUCCAGUACUAAGACUAUGCAUGAGUCCUGUCAAGUGUCAAGCAUACUACAAAAUUAAUUUUAAACUAAAAGAGCAUUUUGUGUUCUCCUUGUUGUGCAAUACUAUACUUCAGUCAAAUAUCUUAAGAACGGCGGCUCUGGAGAUCGCCUCUGUGUGGUUGGGUGUCUCCUCUGGCUGCUUUGGUGGUUGAGUCGUCGACCCAUUGGGUGCGCGGCCUCGGGGCCCGUGUGCUGUGUUGCUGAUGUUUGUAAGCCGGAGGGGCGACUCCGGGUCGUGUGGUAGGGUGUCGACUAGGGUCACUUGGGUGGCAGAGUAGUCGGCCAGUUGGGGGCGCAGCCUCAGGGCCGGUGUGUUUGUAUGGCUCGUUGUAUCGGUUUUCAGCCACUUUUCCUUCCUAACUAGCCAAUUCUCUUCUUAUAUAUGAAAAGGCAGAGCUCCUUGCUUGCUCGAAGAAAAGAAAAAAACUCGCUUUUCAGCUGCUAAUUUCAAUGUGAAGAGCAACGCAUGAUAAUGAGUAAUGAUGGUACCUUCAACACCACAGUUCCAGCUAAAAUUAUCAUUGCAUCCAUCACGUCCACCUUCUCCAUUAGCGUCGUUGUGCUAUAUAAUUUUGGUCGAACAGAAACCAUAUUAACAUAGACACCAGUACUUGUAUAGAAGGACCUUAACUUUAUAGUGUUUUGGUAUACUCAAGUUACCUUUAAGUUGUAUGAAACAAGGUCACAUAAGGUGAACCCAUCAUGUGCUAUUAUAAAGUUCACACCAUGAUGAGGCUUCCGCUGGUUCACCUGCCAAUCAAUAUCACAUCAAAACUUGAUUUUACACGUCAUCCUGUUUUGAACUAUGUAAUCCUAAAUCUUCCACAUAAAAAGAAGUCUCAAAGCUUAUUCACAAGAGGCUCCUAGCACCUCCAUACAUAGAGAACUGGUUUAAAUUUCGAAAUGACAUCUCCAACAAUACCGUUUAGCAUUUGAGUGGAUCUUGGAGGAAUUAAUCAGAAUGAGCAUUGAAAACAGUGCAAUUAGAAUUGCAUACAAAAUAAAUUUGGAGGUUGCAUAUGUUAAUAGCAUAAGCUGCACCCUGAUGACACUAUGGAAAUAGCAAGUGUAUAGUUUCAACUUUCAACAACAAUGAAGGCUUAAGCUCAGGAAUUUCUUUUUCGCAAACACACACAUAAAUGUGUGUUUCCUGUAUUUAGCUUAGGGAUUUACAAAUACUUUAAAAAUUACUACAAAACAUCAAGAAACAGGGCUCCAAAAGAAAUUAUGUAUAGUGAUGAUAUAACCAAGCAAGGAAAAUCUUCAACUGAUGGAUAAAAAGGCAGGCAGGGAAAGAGCGCAUCUGAACAAAAUACCUGGUAGAGAUCAGCAGAUCCAGACACACGAGUUGCCAACACCCCCUUCAUACCAGGGUCACCCUGCAAAAACCCUCGAAAUGAUUAGCGGCAUUCAAUCAUUCAUCAGUGCUUGCAGAAAUAAAAUUGGAAAUAUAACAAAGAAAUUAAUCAGGACAAACUCUUUUGCAGAAGUGCACUCUAAAUUCAGAUCAAACGUUAUCAAAAUCCACUGAUGCUAAAAAGGAAAUAUCUUGGUUUUGUAGGUCUUUGAUGAUUUAGUUAUGAUUGAUUCAAAGACAUUAUGCUAUGGAAAGCAUGAGCGAGUGGAAGCAACAGCAGUCCAUGGAAAAUUGGGUCAGUAAAUUUGAACAGGCCGAGGAGCCUCAUACAUUCUUGAAAAUUCUAUAUUCUUCUGUGGUAAUCUUUCUCUCUGUUCUGGGCUUCUGGCCUUUUUUUAUCUUUCUAAGUUUUAUAUCUAUAACUUGGUUUUUGUCAAUAUAAAUGUAAGAGGAUACUUAUUUUCGCCACGACAAAAAGGUCAUGAACAAAGCCAUCUAAUGAUCUGUCUUAAGAAUAUACGGAAACAAUCGGGAUUUUGGAGAAUGGUAAAGAUCAGGAUCGGGAUUUAGCAAACAGUACCUUGAUGAACCUUCGAAGAUCGUCUCUGUACUUUCCAUUCCAUUCAGCCCACCUACAAGAGCAUUUGAUUAUAUCUUAGAAAUAUUGGCAAUAUUCACCAACAACAUUGAAACAUAUUCAGGUCUUCAUAUAUUUGAAAUUACCGGCAACAACUUUAGGCAACAAAAGGGACCACCAUAUGAAAAGGAGUACAGUUGUUAAGUACUCCCUCCGUCCCAUAAUAUAAGAGCUUUUUUGACACUGCACUAAUGUUAAAAAUGCUCUUAUAUUAUGGGACGGAGGGGGUAAUUUAUAAAUAAUCAUCAGAGCAUUACAUCAGCUAUGUUAGAAAAACAGCAACUCUUUGUGCUACACUAUCAUCGCAAUGUGAAAAUAGUUUAGUGCUAAAGAGGAAACAGAAGUAAGAAAAAUAUACAUAUCCAGUAAUUUCAAUACACAUAGUGCAAAAUUACCUGUCCCAAUUAGGGAAACGCCCUACUAGAUAAAGACCUCCACAAUCCCAAGGUUCAGCAAUUAUCUUGCAUCGAGAUAACACAGAAUCUUUGGCAAUUUCCUGUGACCAGCAAAAUAAACAAUGAAACAAAAUAACAACAAACAUCAUAGGCUGAUAAUUCUACAAAAACACUAAUGCAGGCUAUCAGAUGAACAUUGCAGUCUUGAGAAGGUGUGAUAUAUCAUUUGCAAUUGCAUAAAUGUAAGGGGACAUUCAAAAGGUCACACAUUCAUAGGACCCUCAGGUUCCUCUAAAUCUACUUCAUUAAUGAAGAGCUGAAUAUCUGAUGAUGAAAUUUUGCAUGAUUGAACUAAAUAUCUGCCCGACAAAUAGUUCAACAACUGAGAAAGACAAAGCAAAUACAGCAUACAAUGUUGUGAAGUCAAUAAAUUUCAAGGUGACAUUGGUUCAUGUGAAUUCAUUAGGUCACAAUUUGUAUCUGAUCAACCAUAGUAAGAUAUGGACAAUAGUUAAUCUAAGAACUUAUGUCUUGUGUUUUUAUGAUAUCAAUGAACUUCAUUUGACUAAAAAGAGGAAAAUUGUAUCUCUGAUUUGAAGUUAAACACUACAGUUCUGCAACUAUAAAAUUACCCUGAUGAGUGGAGGAGCAUCAAGAGGACUGCCAUCUGGUCCACGGCAAAGGACACUUGCAAGGUCAAACCGAAAUCCAUCUAUGUGAUACUCCGUAACCCUUGAAGCAUCAAAUAGCCAUGCAAAUAAGAAAACAUACUUAAAAUAUGAUGAAUUCUUUGAAAAAAGAGAUCAUAAGAAAAUACUUGGUCUGAAUUUUGUAUCAAGAUAUGAAUGAACUACAACAGUGCAUUUUUCUUGAUCCUUUGGCUGCCUUGCACUAAUACAUUUAAUAUAGGAUUUGUCAGUGCAUACAAUACUUUGAUAAGGAGAUCCCUAGCGACAUCACUCGUUCAAGGUUGAAAAUACUUAGUCGGUCCACUCACAAAGCACAAGAGUCACCCACCUAGACUCCCAUGAGAAUUGGUUGCUACCUGAUGCUUCUACACCAUGUGUACUAAGGAGUGAGGGAACAAGAAUGAUUGGCAAGCGAGGCUCAGUCUGGAGGCACAGCAAGCAACCGGUCCAACCAGAAACUCAGUGUGGGUUAGACAGGUCACACAUUUUUUUGGUCUAGCCUGUUCCGAUUGAACUGGCUCCUAUUCACUUCGCUGGUGUGAGUGGGUAUAGAAGCAGAAGCCCACCUCUUUUAAGAACAAAUGGAAGUCAUGAGCUUCGCUCCCCUCCUAUGGUUACAGCUUCCAUGUCACCCUAGGAUUGGGAGUUCCGGAGUUUCCCCGCCAAUGUUUUUGUUUCGUGUGCAAGAACCGUUUGUUGGGUGAGUUCUUGCUCAAAGGCUAUGACAUUGGCACUUGUUGCUGGCAUCAAUUGCUCAAGCAACUCGAGUCAUCCAUUCCCAUUGCCUGAAGGCCAGGCCUCCCCGUAUAUUAACUGAAGAAGUCAAGUGACCUCAUCAACUAUAACGUGUCACAACCCAGAUGAUUUGAUGGCUAUGAAUUAAUGUGUGCAGUGUGUACUGCAACAUAGAGGUAGUUUUCAGUAAUUUCAGUCUAUAAGUAUCAUCUUGAUUUGAUCAUAUAGAUCCGACAGUUCAAUUCCACAUGCAUAUUUACUCCCUCCGUCCCAAAAUUCUUGUCUUAGAUUUGUCUAAAUACGGAUGUAUCAAGUCAAGUUUUAGUAUUAGAUAUAUCCGUAUCUAGACAAAUCUAAGACAAGAAUUUUGGGACAGAGGGAGUAUUUACUUGUUAGCACUUGAUUGUGAGAGUGGAACACAUGUAUAAACAGGUGCUAUCGAAGCAUUGACUAUACUGAUUAAUGAAGACUAAAGAGAGGAUCAACAUGAAGAAAGAAAUAUGCAUAAACUAAAAUGCAGUUGCUUGACGUAUAGAACAACAUGCAAGUCGUGCAUACCAAUGUCUCAAGCUGUCGAGUACGAGUUCCAUGACCACAGGAUGGUUGCAGUUUAGUGUAUUCCCUGGAUUAAACCAAGUAUACUGUUAACACUUAGGAGUAGACACAAGUUCCACUUACUUGAAAUUUUAAACGUACCAGAACAUUAAGUACCUAGCCAUCUAAAUGUUAUAUCAACCAGAUAAUUAAGCAGGCUUUCAAUAUUUUUUUAACAAGGUUUCCUUAUAGGUAGCAAUGUGGCAGUCUCACAUCAAUGCAUGGGUUGAGAAAUAUAGUGGCUGCAGCCAAAUAAUGACCAAGUGAGAACUCUUAACCCUUCUACCAGUCAAUAUAGCACCUAACGUGGCUGCAAGGUUCAGUCUGAUGGCAUGACGAAGAUAAUAAAAAUAGAUUGAAUCAACAUUUAUCAUUUGAAAUACAUCACAACAAAGUAGCGGCCAGAUAUGCAGUUUAUUUGCCUAGAAGCACACAAUCGCAAGAUAAAUUAGCAAGGUACGUGGUUAGUAAGUGGAUCAGCAAAACAAGAUACAUUAACAUCCUUAAAAGCCGGAGCAACAAAGAACAUACAAAGCAUCAGGUAGCACCCUAGAACAUGCUCACCUAUCACAAGCACGUCACAAACAAUCAAGUAACAGAAGUUCAGGAAUCAUGGUUUUACCGCAUCCCGAGAAGUUCAGCAGUUGAGAGUUGUUCUUCGGAUCUAACAUGUAAUAAACCUGCAUGAAUGAAAGUAGUGUUUUUGGUAUAAAUCCAUGUAAAACCUGAAGCAGGUGUACACUUCUAAACACAUUGGGAUUUAGAACGGAUUAACUUAACCUGGUCACAAAUUUUACUUAGCCUUCUAAGACCAGUGACUGUCUGACCCAUUAUAAAAUAACAGGUCAAAAGGGUGGAGUGAGCAAACCCAUACACAAAUUCUGAGUUAAGCAGCCCUAUUCCGAUUCUAACCUAGUCCUCUUCAACCCGGAACAAAACACAACCUACACAUUAGAACUAAGAAAAGAUAGAGUGACAAGCAGAUAGGUGCCUUCGUCGGCUAUAACUCAAAUAGAUAAAUCACCUUGUUGUCGAUGCCACGAAAAGAAGUAACAUAAGGAUUAGCGUCAUCUGCUUCAUUUGUAUGGUUGUAAACGACAUCCAGAAUAACCUACACAAAAUGAUGAUACCACUAAACACAUGUUAUCAUGUGGGAUGAAUAAGAAUGCUACAAUAGGUUGCCAUAUCUACUGGAUGUCAAUACCUCUAUACCAGCUUUAUGCAAUGCCUUGACCAUCUGCUUGAGCUCUCUGGAAGCAGCCAAUGGUCCACCACCAGCACUUGCAUAGCGGGUCAUGGGAGCAAAAAAAUUGAUUGUAGAAUAACCCCAUGUAUUGACCUUCCAAUUGAGAAGAUGAAAAGUCAUUCCACAAUUGAUUCCACUGAUGAACCAUAAUGAUGACAUCAUGCACAAAGUGGCAUAUCGGAAUUUUUACCAUGUGGUCCCUUGGGUUAGGGUACCUCUUCAACUCCAGCUCAUCAAACUCAAAAACAGGUAGCAACUCCACUGCAUUAACUCCGAGUUCAAGCAAAUGCGGGAUCUACAAAACCGCAACUAUUGCAUGCAUAAGUCAUUAAACAAUAGGCUUGAAGCCUUGAACACUGAAAGCUAAUAUGCAUAUCAGGUUCCCAAAACUAGAUCACUAAAAUAAUAGUCGGAAUAUAUUUAUUUCGCUAAUAACUUCCAGUAAGGACCAAACAAAUAAUUGUUGUUACAAGCCACACAAUAAGAAGAAAUUAAAACUUACUUUGUCGAUGAAUCCUAGGUAGCUUCCGCGAACAGCUGCAUCAAGCCCACUUGACUCAUCCGCAGUGAAAGCGCGAACGUUCAUUUCAUAUAUAACUAGAUCUGUCUAGAUUAAAGAACAUAAGAAAAGCAGUGAACUUCAUGUUUGGGAUGCUUUCUGCAUUUAUUCUAUGAAAUGAUUCUAGUACCUCAGGCAAAUGUGGAAGCUGGUAAUCAGCACCCCAGUCAAAAGGAGAGCUAUCAAAAUCAUAUGUUCCAAAAGGCUGGCUGGGCUUCCCGUUAUCAACCCCAAAGUAAUUUCGACCAGAAACUAGUUUCGCGUAAGGGUCAAGAAGAAUAAUGUUGCUAUCAAACCUAUGGCCUUGUUCCCAUCCUUGAGGACCAUUAACACGAUAUCCGUAAAGAACUCCAGAAGUGGGCAACCCCUGAAAGUACAGUUAUAGAAGGCUUCAUUCAGCAUAUAUGCAUGGGAAAAUACAUAGGAGCAAAAUAGGCACAGAUUUCUCCUCCUAACUAUAAAUAUUGUAAAGAACAUAAGGAUGUGUUUUCAGCCAAGACCAAAAGAGAACAUAAGGAUUUCUCCUCCCAACAAUAAAUAUUGUAAAGAACAUAAGGAUAUGUUUUUCAGCCAAGACCAAAAAAUAUAGAUGUUCGCCGGCGUUCUGGUGGCUCCGCCUCCGGCGGUACGAAUCUGCGUUCCCUUCCGGCUCCGGAUUGCCGGCGGCCAUCCUUCCAUCUGCAUAGGCUCUCUACCCCGCUGCCUCUCCGACCCCGUCCGCCUACACGCCAUGUCGGUUCCAAAGCUCGCGUUUUUCGUCGGCAACAUGUGCAGCCCCACCCCCAUCAGAGGUAGUGGUCGACAUGCAGGUUGUCUCCGACAUCUUUGGAUCCUGAUUUGGCGGCUUUGAGAUUGCUUGGACUAGGCCAGGCGAAAUCCAUGCUCGGUUUGCCGAUGCAGGUCGUUUCCCUUCUUGGAGGCGCUGCCAUGGCCUUUGUCCGUGCACCCCUUCGAGUAUGAGGGGAAACCCUAGGUCCGGUUCUCCGGAUCGGAUGGCGACGACGUCACGACAUCAUUCCCCUUCUUGAAGGCGCUAUCUUGCUAGCUCAUGGUGUCCCGGUGUUGGAAUUGAAGAUUUUUUAUUGAAGGGUUUUUCUCCCCGAUUUCAUCCAGAAACCACAAAAAUCCUUGCAGUCAUGCUAGAAGUGACACAGUGAGAUAGCCAAAGUUAUGAGGCUACACUACUCAGUAGUGCAUUUUGUUUCCCUUUAUGAAUGAGUUACGUGAUAAGACCAGUGCUUUCAAAAUAUAUGAUUCUCAUAAAAUUAAAUCUUGUUUUGAAGAAUAUGCAAUACAGAUACACAUGAGACGAAUGAUGGGAUUCUUGUUCCAUAAAUGCCAGCCACACCAAGUUGUCAAUACUGAAAAGAAUAAUGCCUUAUCUUCGAAGGUACAGAUAACAUCAAAGCUUCAUAACAAUACCUCCACCGACACAUGCCAUAUAUCUCCAGUUUUGUUCUUCUGGCAAUCUAAAGCAAACUCCACAACUUUUUCACUUUCUUCAUCCUUGGUUCCUCUGCAGGGCAAUCCAGUAUGUCAGACGUUGAGACGAAUCAUAUUUCAUUGGAAAGAGAAUGCGAGAUGAACAAGCUAAAGCACAAUGCUGAUCAGCAAAAGGUUAUUUCAACCAGGCCAACACCCCAGAUCAACUAACAAAAUGCAAAAUGGCAACCUGGGAAACAAAUAAACAUCGUUUUGUGCACGAUCUGCAACAUACACAAACAGUUGAUCAAAGUGCGACGUAAGGAUGUGUUUUGGCUUUAUGAACAACUUGUUUUGCGGAAAACCAGGAUUCACGAGUCCUGGCCUAAAAGGCAAAAACAGUUUAACUUAAGUGACACUGAAAGCAACAAAACCACACAAUUUAGGAAAGGUUGUCUGUACCUCUCAGGAAGCUUGAUGCAGAGGGUGACAGAAGAAGCAUUUUGAGAGAAAAUCGCAAAGUUGAGACCACUUUCAACCUGCGACACUCCUAGAGGGGAUGCUUUGCCGGAAGAAUAUUUCAAGGGCAUUUCGGUACCCGCCGUUGCGCUUUCCCUUUCCUGGCGGUGUUGCAGAAUGAACAUACACUUUAGCAAAAAUAACAUGGUACAGAAUGAGGAAUAAGAAUACGCAGCAUCAUACAGUUAAUGAAUACAAACAUAUUCGCUUAGCGUGAAGUUUUACCAGGAUGAUAGCUCACGACAUGCCAAAUGACCAUGAAUGUAUAUCAAACAAACAGUUCAGUACACUGGUAGCUAAAUGGAUCGACGAACAAAUACAGUGUACUAUACAACCAUACGGGGCAUGAACACUUGAGUGUGGGGCGAUACCUCGGUCACAAUUCUCCCAGCAUUACCAGUCUGAGCUCCCACCGAGGUACUCCGCACGGACCUAAAUCGCUGUGCCUGCACCACGACAAAAUCCGCUCUGAUCAAUCCACCAAUUAGAGCAGAGGAAUGGAUGCACGCCGCGAAAAACAAAAGUACGAAAUCGAGACACCUGCCUUUCCGAAUUGCCCUCCUCCGCACCCGGGCGCGACCCCAAGCCUGCUCGCUGCCACACUGCACGGGAACCACGACCAAACACAUGCAUCGUUCAGCGCGGCCGCACGGCAGGAAAGCAACAAAAUGCAGCGCGGCGAAACGAGGUCUCGCGAAGAGAGAGGUUAAAAACCCACCGGUUAGGAAGCGCGGGGCGGACGGAGCUGCUGCUUCGGCGCGCGGUGGCGGCGGCGGCGGGGCGCAGCGGGGAGCGAUUUGUAGAGGCCGCCGAAUCCAUCCAAAUGCGGGGGUGCUGGGACGGGGUGGCGGGAGGGAUUUGGCUCGGGGCCGGGGCUUAGUUAUAGGGGCUCGUGGACACGGUCAUGGGGCGGCUCGCGGCUCUCGAGGUCGAGGGAGUGGAGCGGCGAUGGGGAGCGCAAGUCGGAGCAGGAGGAGAAGGAUGCGGUGAUCUCACCUCGGGGAGGGCGCGCGGAGGAAUGGGGGCGCGGGGGCGACGGAGAUGGGUGAUGGACACGUGGUGUCGCAUGCGCGGGGCGGGGGCGGCGGAUAGGGAAGUGGAGUGGACGGAGGACCUUGGCUCCCUUCCGGCCCCGACGUGUGGUGUCGUCUCGUCAUGUGCUUUCCAUACAACAGUUACCGGUGGUCUCAGUAGACGAGAAACGGUCGAAAUCACGGACAGAAGAGGUGGGAAACUUGCUUUACCGAAAAAUCUGAAAAUAAUUAUCCACGUAUCUUUAUCUUUACCUCCUUACCUAUAUAUAUAUAUAUAUAUAUACUAAUAUAUAUAUAUUAUAUAUAUAUAUAUAUAUACUAAUAAACCACGCAUCGCUUCUGGUGGUACGUCAUAAAAACAACCCUCGAAGUUGGCAAUAAUUACCCACCAAUGCCACCCGUAAGUGGCAAAAACGAUUCGUUUUUAAUUUCUAAUAUCGCUCCAGGGUUCUGUUAUUAAAGGUGGAUACAAUAUAAUAGCACUAAUGCAUGAGCAGUGCGAUGGCUGAGGCAAUGAUGCUCCACACAGGAGACCAGGGUUCAAUCCCUGGUUCUCACGCUUUUUCUCUUUCUUUUUACCAAGCGCAGUAAUGGGCCAGCCCAUGUGCGGGUCGUGGCGCCCCCUGUUUUCUAUAUCUUUUUUUUAUUUCUAUUUUGUUUUUUCCCUAAAAAUAAAUUUCGGAUUGAUGGCGCCCCCUAUUUUUUAUUUCUUUUUACUUUUUUUUCUGUUUUGGUUUUUUAUCUCAAAAUUAAUUUCGGAUUUCCAAAAUAUCAAACAAUUGCGAGUUCUGAAAAAAAGUAGGAAAAUGGUAAACUGUUUGUGAAUUUAAAAAAUAUUCUAAAAAUCAAAAAAUGUUCAUGACUUAAAAAAUUGCUCACAAAUUAUAAACAAAUCACGAUUUCUAAUGAUUUCAUGAAAUAAAAAAUGUUCAUGAUUUUUUUAAAUGAGCCAAUAUUCAAAGUAUAUUCAGGAAUUUAAAAAUCAUGUCCAUCAGCUUUUAGAAAAUGUUCACAAAAAUUAAAACACGUCCGUAAAUAAUGAACAAAACUAAUUGUAGGUUCCAUAAAGGUUUUAUUAGGAGAUCUAUAUAGCUCGUUUUAUGAUUUUAUUUAGUCCUUCGCGUUGGGUAAAAAAGGGUUUCCGUGUUUUGUACAACGCUGAACCCAACAAAAUUGACAUAACUUUCUAAGGGUUUGUUUUUGUAAGCUAUAUUAAAAUGACUAAAUGUCUAUUUUGCUUCCAUACACAGUUAUGCUUAUUUUCAUAUCACAAUAGUGGUUAUGGUAAACACCGCUACGCUAAAUCCAGACGAGACACUUUAUUUAUCAGUAUAGCUCAGGCAGGGUCCGUCAAUGCAGUUUGCUCAGCCACAAAAUAUUUUGUUGUGACGCCUUAAAAAAUCAAGUCUUGAUGAGCAUCAUAUUGUUCGUUUUUGAAAUUACAUUUUAAAAGUGUCUUAUCGCAUCAUGACAUGAUUUGUAUAUACUUUGUGAAUUUUAUUCAUACUUUUUUAUAUCUACCACACAUGUAUAACUUGAUAGUUUUUUUCCGUUGCAAGGCACGGGCAUUUCCAAAAAUGUUCGCUAAAUCAAAAAAAGUUUGUCAAAUUCAAGAACUAUUCCACCCAAUUUCUAAAUAUUUUCAUCGAUUAUAGAAUGUUUGCCAGUUCAGGAAAAUUGCUUAAAAAUGUUCACAAUUUCUAAAAAAUGUUUGUAAAUAGCAAAAAAUAUUCAUAAAUUGAAAAAAUGUUCUUGAUUGUAGAAAAUGUUCAGAAAUUUGUAAUAGUAUGUUGUUUGCGAUUUCAAAUAUGUGCAUGAGUUUAACAAAUUGUUCAUAAUUUCAAAAUGUUCAUGAUUUCGAGAAAUUGAGAGAGAUAUUGUAUCUCGGUGAUGCAACGAAAUGUGAUCAUGACCAUUUGAAAUUAUGAAUUUUUUUCUCCCGUUGCAACGCACGGGCCCUUUUGCUAGUACACUACUUAACUACUUAUAUAUUAUAGAAAAGCAAACAAAAGCUUCUCUAAACACACCCAUAGAAUGUACACGGAUCAAUUACAACUGCAUGAUUAGACCCACUAAAUCAAUCUAACGGCUAGCCUUAAUUUAAUUCCUUUUGUACGUACGUUUAGCAAUUUUAAUUGACUGGUGUACUCCACCACACAGGAAAACACACGUCAGACUACUCAUAGUGGAACUAAUAUGAGUGGUAACAUCACACAUGUCUAGGCAAAAUAGAUGACGUGAUAAAUAAUUAAUAAGGAAAGAGAGGCAUAUGAUAACAUACCAUCUUUGUCCUGGUUUAUUAGUCCCCUUUAUAAUUUGUGCUAAAUUUUGACCAAAGAUUUAACUGAUAAAAUACUAGAACAUGUUAACAAAAAUUAUAUCGUUAGAUUCAUAUUUGAACAUAGUUUACAAUGAUAUAAUUUUUAUUGACAUGCAUAAACAUCUUGUUAUUUAAAUUUAUGAUCAAAAUUUAGCACAAAUUACAAUGGAGACCAAUACACUAGGGCAGAGGGGUAGUAUCAAGACAAGAUGAGUCUGCGACCUAAUAAAUGAGGUGUUACAUGACAUCACACAUAUGUUAUUUCUCAUUAUAGGGGUAGUAACAUAGACUAGUAACAUACUAGUCUAGGUUAUUCCCCACUAUGGGUAAUCUCACACCCCGCAUCGGCAACUCCUACAAUCACGCAACGCACGCAAUCCGAACUGCCACCAGUUAACCUAUAUCCAUUAAUUAGCGCCUAAUCAAUUCUCAUAUGAAACCUCCAUUCAAAAGAGAGAAAAUUCCCAAGAGCAUGCAAGCCACCCGCCAAUGCAAGCGAAACACCGCCUUCAGGACGAGCGAGGAGCCCGUCGUUGAGGAACCCAAAGCAACACACGAGGGAGGGAGAAACGGACGAACUCACAGACAGAAGAGGUGGGAAACUUGCUUUAUCGAAAAAUCUGAAAAUAAUUAUCUACACUAUUUAUAAAAAAGUAAACAAAAUCUUUUAUAAACACACCCACAAAAUAUACACAGAUCAAUUACCACCGCAUGAUUAGACCCACUAAAUCAAUCUAACGGCUAGCCUUAAUUUAAUCCCUUUUGUAUGUGCGUUUAGCAAUUUUAAUGGACUGACCGUAGUCCACCGCACAGGAAAAGACCUCAGACUAUCCAUAGUGGGAGUAACAUGAGUGGUAACAUCACACAUAUUUAGGCAAAAUAGAUGAUGUGCCAAGUAAUUAAUAAGGAAAGAGAGGCAUAUGAUGACAUACUAUCUCCGUCCUGGUUUAUUAGUCCCCUUUGUAAUUUGUGCUAAAUCUUGACCAAAGAUUUAACUGACAAAAUGUUAGUGCAUGUUAACAAAAAUUAUAUCGUUGGAUUCGUAUUUGGACAUAGUUUUCAAUGAUAUAAUUUUUUAUGACAUGCAUAAACAUUUUGUCAGCUAAAUUUAUGGUCAAAAAUUGACAUUGAUUACAAUUGGGACCAAUAAAUCAGGACAGAGGGGUAGUAUCAAGACAAGAUGAGUCUGCAACCUAAUAAAUGAGGUGUUACAUGACACCACACAUAUGUUAUUCCCCGCUAUAGGGGUAGUAACAUAGACUAGUAACAUAUGCAUGUUACUAGUCUAAGUUACACCCCGCAUCGGCAACUCCUACAAUCACGCGACGCACGCAAUCCGAACUGCCACCAGUUAACCUAUAUCCAUUAAUUAGCGCCUAAUCAAUUCUUAUAUGAAACCUCCAUCCAAAAGAGAGAAAAUCCCCAAGAGCAUGGAAGCCACCCGCCAAUGCAAGCGAAACACCGCCUUCAGGACGAGCGAGGAGCUCGUCGUUGAGGAAACCAAAGCAACACACGAGGGAGGGAGAACAGGGCACGCAAAGGAGAGGACACGCCCAGGGCGGCAGUGCACUCACCUGACAACACACAUGCGGCCCGGCCCUGUCCGGUGCCGGCGGCGCAUGUCCCCCAAGGAUCGAGGGUUGAAUGCUCCCGGGAGGAGACACGCCGUGAGUCGUGAUGUCAGUGUCAAAGAAAUCGGAAGGACGCACCGAGAGGCUAGCCGGCAAUGAGCGUGCCCUGGCCCUGUCAGGCGGAGGCGUGUGCGCCAUAGGAGGCACAUGAAGAGCUCACAUACGGCCAAAUGAUUUAUACGUCUCCAACGUAUCUAUAAAUUUUGAUUAUUCCAUGCUAUUAUAUAUUAUGUUUUGGAUGUUUAAUGGGCUUAUUUAUACACUAUUAUAUUAUUUUUGGGACUAACCUAUUAACCGAAGGCCCAGCCCAAAUUGUUAUUUUUUGCCUAUUUCAGUGUCUCGCGGAAAAAGAAUAUCAAACGAGUCCAAACGGAAUGAAACCUUUGGGGGCGUGAUUAUUGUAACAAACGUGAUCCAAAGGACUUGGAGUGGACGUCAAGCAACCAACAAGGAAGCCACGAGGCAGGGGGCGCGCCUAACCCCCUGGGCGCGCCCUCCACCCUCGUGGGCCCCUCGUGGCUCCAUCGACCUACUUCUUCCUUCUAUAUAUACCUACAUACCCUGAAAACAUCGUGGAGCACCACGAAAACCUAAUUCCACCGCCGCAACCUUCUAUACCCGUGAGAUCCUAUCUUAGGGCCUUUUCCGGCACUCCGUCGGAGGGGGCAUUGAUCACGGAGGGCUUCUACAUCAACACCAUAGCCUCUCCGAUGAUGUGUGAGUAGUUUACCUCGGACCUUCGAGUCCAUAGUUAUUAGCUAGAUGGCUUCUUCUCUCUUUGGAUCUCAAUACAAAGUUCUCCUCGAUUCUCUUGGAGAUCUAUUCGAUGUAAUCUUCUUUUGUGGUGUGUUUGUCGAGAUCCGAUGAAUUGUGGGUUUAUGAUCGAGAUUAUCUAUGAACAAUACUUGAAUCUUCUCUGAAUUCUUUUAUGUAUGAUUGGUUAUCUUUGCAAGUCUCUUCGAAUUUUCAGUUUGUUUUGGCCUACUAGAUUGAUCUUUCUUGCAAUGGGAGAAGUGCUUACCUUUGGGUUCAAUCUUGCGGUGCUCGAUCCCAGUGACAGUAGGGGAAACGACACGUAUUGUAUUGUUGCCAUCGAGGAUGAUGGGGUUUAUAUCAUAUUGCAUUGAGUUUAUCCCUCUACAUCAUGUCAUCUUGCUUAAAGCGUUACUCCGUUCUUAUGAAUUUAGUACUCUAGAUGCAUGUUGGAUAGCGGUCGAUGUGUGGAGUAAUAGUAGUAGAUGCAGGUAGGAGUCAAUCUACUUGUCACAGACGUGAUGCCUAUAUACAUGAUUAUACCUAGAUAUUCUCAUAACUAUGCUCAAUUCUAUCAAUUGCUCGACAGUAAUUUGUUAACCCACCGUAAUACUUAUGCUAUCUUGAGAGUAGCCACUAGUGAAACCUAUGGCCACCGGGUCUAUUUUCCUUCAUACAAGUUUCCAAUCUAUUUUAUUUUGCAAUCUUUACUUCCAAUUUAUAUCAUAAAGAUACCAAAAGUAUUUAUCAUAUUAUUAUUAUCUCUAUCAGAUCUCACUCUUGCAAGUGGCCGUGAAGGGAUGGACAACCCCUUUAUUGCGUUGGUUGUGAGGUUUUUAUUUGUUUGUGUAGGUAAGAGGUGACUCGCGCGUGAUCUCCUACUAGAUUGAUACCUUGGUUCUCAAAAACUGAGGGAAAUACUUACGCUGCUUUGCUGCAUCACCCUUUCCUCUUCAAGGGAAAACCAACACAUGCUCAAGAGGUAGCAAGAAGGAUUUCUGGCACCGUUGCCGGGGAGAUCUACGCCAAGUCAAGACAUACCAAGUACCCAUCACAACUCUUAUCAUUCGCAUUACAUUAUUUGCCAUUUGCCUCUCGUUUUCCUCUCCCCCACUUCACCAUUGCCGUUUUAUUUGCCCUUCUUCUAUUCGUCUUUCCAUUUGCUCUGAUGUCUUACUUGGCUCAUUUGCUCGUUUAGUUGGAAUAGUUGUUUAUUUAUUGCUAAACAAAGAACCUAAGAUCUAUGGAUCCUCAUCCGCUUGCUAAUCUUUUUAAGAGAUCCAAUUAUGAUGAACCAAUUGCUAGUGAGUUUUGUGCACUAGAUUAUCUUUGUGAAGUUUUGCUUGAAAUUCGUGAAUCUGAAAAUUGUGAUGAAGUACUUUAUGGAGUGAUUCAAGAUGGAUCUUUGAAUAGAAAGCAUGAUUGCAAUGAUGAUAGUAUAAAUUCUAUUAAUGUCAAUUGUGCUUAUAAUAUGCAAAACUCUAAGCUUGGGGAUGCUAGUUUUGUUAUGUCUACUACUUGUUGCAAUGAUCAUGAUAUUCUUCUUUUGAUCUUGAAAAUUUAUUUAAGCCCCAUGAUGAAUAUGAGAUUGAUAAUAGUGUUUGCAAUAUUACUGAAAGUGGUUUUGGAAGAUUGUCAACUUUAGAUCCCACAUAUUUGGAGAAUAUUCAAUCUUAUGAAAUUUUUGAUAAAAGUGGGUUUGGAGAGGUCAUGACUUUAGUUAAUGUUAAUCCCACUAUUUUGGAAGAGUGUCAACUUUGCAUGCAUGUGGAUUGUGUUGAAAAUAUUUUAUGUGAUAGCUAUUUUGUUGAAUUUGCUUAUGAUUCCACAUGCAAUUAUUAUGAGAGAGGAAAAUAUGGUGGUAGAAAUUUUCAUGUUACUAAUUUACCUCUCGUUAUGUUGAGAUUGCUAUUGUUUCUUUUCGCUUCCUUGCAUAUGCUAGUUUAUGCUUGCCUUGAUAAUUUGUUUGCCUAUAAGAUGCUUAUGCAUAGGAAGUAUGUUAGACUUAGAUGUGUUUGUCACUUGUCUUGUGAUGCUCUCUUUGUGCUUCAAUUCUUGUCUUUCAUGUGAGCAUCGUUGAAAUCUUAUGCCUAGUUAUAAGGCUUUAAAGAAAAUCGCUUGUUGGGAGGCAACCCAAUAUUUUCCCUUGCUGUUAUUCAAUAAAUAAUUUAUCUAGCCUCUGUUUUGGUUGUGUUUUUUGUGUUUAAUUAGUGUUUGUGCCAAGUAGAACCAUUGGGAAGACUUGGGAAAAGUCCUUUUGAUCUUGCUGUAAAAAACAGAAACUUUAGCGCUUGCAAGAAUUGCUGCCAUUUUUUAUUGAAGAGUGCUAUUUAGUUAAUUCUUUUUUAAGAUGAUUAAUACAUAAAUUCCUCACGUCCAGGAAUUUAUUUUAGAAUUUUUGGGAUUCCAGAAGUUUGUGUCAGUUACAGAUUACUACGGACUGUUCUGUUUUUGACAGAUUCUGUUUUUCGUGUGUUGUUUGCUUAUUUUGAUGAAUCUAUGGCUAGUAAUGGAGUUUAUAAAUCACAAAGAAGUUGGAAUACAGUAGGUUUAACACCAAUAUAAAUAAAGAAUGAGUUCAUUACAGUACCUUGAAGUGGUGUUUUAUUUUCUUUCGCUAACGGAGCUCACGAGAUUUUCUGUUAAGUUUUGUGUUCUGAAGUUUUCAAGUUUUGGGUAAAGAUUUGAUGGAUUAUGGAACAAGGAGUGGCAAGAGCCUAAGAUUGGGGAUGCCCAAGGAACCCCAAGGUAAAAUCUAAGGACACCAAAAAGCCUAAGCUUGGGGAUGCCCCGAAAGGCAUCCCCUUUUUUGUCUUCGUUCAUCGGUAACUUUACUUGGAGCUAUAUUUUUAUUCACCACAUGAUAUGUGCUUUGCUUGGAGCGUCUUGUAUGAUUUGAGUCUUUGCUUUUUAGUUUACCACAAUCAUACUUGCUGUACACACCUUUUGAGAGAGACACACAUGAAUCGGAAUUUAUUAGAAUACUCUAUGUGCUUCACUCUAUGUACUCUAUGGUUUCAUUUUAUAGAAAUAAUUGAUCUCUCAUGCUUCACUUAUAUUAUUUUGAGAGUCCUUUAGAACAGCAUGGUAAUUUGCUUUUGAUAUUAUAAAAAAACUUUCAUAUAAGUGCAUUGAAUACUAAGAGAAGUUUGAUACUUGAUGAUUGUUUUGAGAUAUGGAGAUAGUGAUAUUAAAGUUGUGCUAUUUGAGUAGUUUUGAAUUUGAGAAAUACUUGUGUUGAAGUUUGAAAGUCCCGUAGCAUGCACGUAUGGUAAACAUUGUGUAACAAAUUUGAAACAUGAGUUGUUAUUUGAUUGUCUUCCUUAUGAGUGGCGGUCGGGGACGAGCGAUGGUCUUUUCCUACCAAUCUACCCCCCUAGGAGCAUGCGCGUAAUACUUGGUUUUUGAUGACUUGUAGAUUUUUGCAAUAAGUAUGUGAGUUCUUUAUGACUAAUGUUGAGUCCAUGGAUUAUACGCACUCUCACCCUUCCAUCAUUGCUAGCCUCUUCGGUACCGUGCAUUGCCCUUUCUCACCUUGAGAGUUGGUGCAAACUUCGCCGAUGCAUCCAAACCCCGUGAUACGAUACGCUCUAUCACACAUAAACAUCCUUAUAUCUUCCUCAGAACAGCCACCAUACCUACCUAUUAUGGCAUUUCCAUAGCCAUUCCAAGAUAUAUUGCCAUGCAACUUUCCACCGUUCCGUUUAUUAUGGCACACAUCAUCAUUGUCAUAUUGCCUUGCAUGAUCAUGUGGUUGACGUCGUAUUUGUGGCAAAGCCACCAUUCAUAAUUCUUUCAUACAUGUCAGUCAUGAGUCAUUGCACAUCCCGGUACACCGUCGGAGGCAUUCAUAUAGAGUCAUAUCUUGUUCUAGAAUCGAGUUGUAAUCAUUGAGUUGUAAAUAAAUAGAAGUGUGAUGAUCAUCAUUAAUAGAGCAUUAUCCCAAGAAAAGGGGGGAGAAAGGCCAAAUAAUGAAAAGGAAGGCCCCCCAAAAAGGGGCAAUGCUACUAUCCUUUUUUCCACACUUGUGCUUCAAAGUAGCACCAUGAUCUUUAUGAUAGAGAGUCUCUUGUUUUGUCAUUUUCAUAUACUAGUGGGAAUUUUUCAUUAUAGAACUUGGCUUAUAUAUUCCAACAAUGGGCCUCCUCAAGUGCCCUAGGUCUUUGUGAGCAAGCAAGUUGGAUGCACACCCACUUAGCUUCUUUUGUUGAGCUUUCAUACAUUUAUAGCUCUAGUGCAUCCGUUGCAUGGCAAUCCCUACUCCUUGCAUUGACAUCAAUUGAUGGGCAUCUCCCUAGCCCAUUGAUUAGCCGCGUCAAUGUGAGACUUUCUCCUUUUUGUCUUCUCCACAUAACCCCCUUCAUUAUAUUCUAUUCCACCCAUAGUGCUAUAUCCAUGGCUCACGCUAAUGUAUUGCGUGAAAGUUGAAAAAAGUUUGAGAUUACUAAAGUAUGAAACAAUUGCUUGGCUUGUCAUCGGGGUUGUGCAUGAUGAGAGCAUUCUUGUGUGACGAAAAUGGAGCAUGACCAAACUAUAUGGUUUUGUAGGGAUGAACUUUCUUUGGCCAUGUUAUUUUGAGAAGACAUGAUUGCUUAGUUAGUAUGCUUAAAGUAUUAUUAUUUUUAUGUCAAUAUUAAACUUUUAUCUUGAAUCUUUCGGAUUUGAACAUUCAUGCCAUAAUAAAGAAAAUUACAUUGAGAAAUAUUUUAGGAAGCAUUCCACAUCAAAAAUUCUGUUUUUAUCAUUUACCUACUCGAUGACGAGCAGGAAUUAAGCUUGGGGAUGCUUGAUACGUCUCCAACGUAUCUAUAGUUUUUGAUUGUUCCAUGCUAUUAUAUAUUCUGUUUUGGAUGUUUAAUGGGCUUAUUUAUACACUUUUAUAUUAUUUUUUGGGACUAACCUAUUAACCGGAGGCCCAGCCUAAAUUGCUGUUUUUUUUUGCCUAUUUCAGUGUUUCGCAGAAAAAGAUUAUCAAAAGGAGUCCAAACGGAAUGAAACCUUCGGGAGCAUGAUUUUUGGAACAAACGUGAUCCAGAGGACUUGGAGUGGACGUCAAGCAACCAACAAGGAAGCCACAAGGCAGGGGGGCAUGCCUACCCCCUAGGCGCGCCCUCCAUCCUCGUGGGCCCCUCGUGGCUCCACCGACCUACUUCUUCCUUCUAUAUAUACCUAUGUACCCUGAAAACAUCUGGGAGCACCACGAAAACCUAAUUCCACUGCUGCAACCUUCUGUACCCGUGAGAUCCCAUCUUGGGGCCUUUUCCGGCGCUUCGCCGGAGGGGGCAUUGAUCACGGAGGGCUUCUACAUCAACACCAUAGCCUCUCCGAUGAUGUGUGAGUAGUUUACCUCAGACCUUCGGGUCCAUAGUUAUUAGCUAGAUGGCUUCUUCUCUCUCUUUGGAUCUCAAUACAAAGUUCUCCUCGAUUCUCUUGGAGAUCUAUUCGAUGUAAUCUUCUUUUGCGGUGUGUUUGUCGAGAUCCGAUGAAUUGUGGGUUUAUGAUCGAGAUUAUCUAUGAACAAUAUUUGAAUCUUCUCUGAAUUCUUUUAUGUAUGAUUAGUUAUCUUUGCAAGUCUCUUCAAAUUUUCAGUUUGGUUUGGCCUACUAGAUUGAUCUUUCUUGCAAUAGGAGAAGUGCUUAGCUUUGGGUUCAAUCUUGCGGUGCUCGAUCCCAGUGACAGUAAGGGAAACGGCGCAUAUUGUAUUGUUGCCAUUGAGGAUAAAAAGAUGGGGUUUAUAUCAUAUUGCAUGAGUUUAUCCCUCUACAUCAUGUCAUCUUGCUUAAAGCAUUACUCCGUUCUUAUGAACUUAAUACUCUAGAUGCAUGCUGGAUAGCGGUCGAUGUGUGGAGUAAUAGUAGUAGAUGCAGGCGGGAGUCGGUCUACUUGUCACGGACGUGAUGCCUAUAUACAUGAUCAUACCUAGAUAUUCUCAUAACUAUGCUCAAUUCUAUCAAUUGCUCGACAAUAAUUUGUUCACCCACCGUAAUACUUAUGCUAUCUUGAGAGAAGCCACUAGUAAAACCUAUGGCCCCGGGGUAUAUUUUCCAUCAUACAAGUUUCCAAUCUAUUUUAUUUUGCAAUCUUUACUUUCAAUUUAUAUCAUAAAAAUACCAAAAAUAUUUAUCUUAUUAUUAUUAUCUCUAUCAGAUCUCACUCUUGCAAGUGACCGUGAAGGGAUUGACAACCCCUUUAUCGCGUUGGUUGCGAGGUUUUUAUUUGUUUGUGUAGGUACGAGGUGACUCGCGCGUGGUCUCCUACUGGAUUGAUGCCUUGGUUCUCAAAAACCAAGGGAAAUACUUACACUGCUUUGCUGCAUCACCCUUUCCUCUUCAAGGGAAAACCAAUGCAUGCUCAAGAGGUAGCAAUGAUAGGGCCACCCACGUACGCUAGCAAGACGCAGGUGCUAUUGCCGGAGCUAAAACUCGUGUAUGAGAGGUAGCGACUCCCUGACGCCAUGCUUGACAACUUCCCAUGAAGGGGGUCUGUGUUGAUUUGCAUCGGAGGCGCCCCAAAACCCUAUUGCGCCCGUUUGCACUAUAUAAAGCAGAGGAAACCCUUUCGCCAAGAGGAAGUUAUUCAUCAAGCCAAGAACCGCCAGGCUGUCAUCAUCACCAUUCCCACCUACAACAAAUGUCACCAUCUCCAUUAGCCAUAAUACUUAUAGUCGAUAGUGCAUCACGACCAAUGUAAGACUUAUAAUCAUUCAUGUUUAAGUAUCAAUCUUUACAGUGUCUAUUGCUUAUGAAUUAUUCGCGAUGUCUGAGUAGUCCCCUUGGUCUAAGGGUUGAGGCAUCUCAUGUAUGUGCGUCAAGGGAUCAUUGGUUUACUUUGAUAUGUUAACAGAUUUCCUAUGUGUUGCACAACUUUUGCCUCAUUUCCUUAAUCAUAAGACUUGCAUGUAUGCAACAUAUGGAAGAUUGGACAGGGAGAUAUUAUGGACAGAGAAGAGUGACUUCUAUGAGGAAUAUCGGUGACAGAGAUAUUAAUAUAGUAGAUGGAAACGAGUCUUUGGGAUAAAUAAUGUGCAAUCAUUAAAUGCCCAACGUAUUGGUCCAAUUUAUUCCUUAAUAUAACUGAGGUAAUCCCGUUAGUCAAAAGGGCCUUGGUUGGACAAUAUAACCUUGAUCCGGCGUUGGUCGGUCAUUGGCUUAUUUGAAACCAUUUCUCACAACAAUUCAUUGACAAGCUAUAUGUUACAACUUGACUAGUGUCAUGUUGUUUAUUCAGAUAAGAUCUGAGCACAAGUACAGUUACAGGUAAAGCCUUUAGCCAUAGCCUAUUUAUUUUAUUAUUGUCUUUUAGUUGCCUAUACAAUUUGGUUCAAAAAACUGGAACUCUUUGAGAUAACAAGUUCUUGUAUAAAUCUUCUUGCUAAGCAUCACUUCCCGUGGGCUCGAUAAGCCUAGGAUAUCUGGGGAAAUAAGCUACUUCUACAUCUAAAACCCGAUCAAAGAUAAUCAUAAAUUUUGAUUCCUUCCUUCUAAAAAGAUGGUUUAUUCACCCAACAAAUUAUGUUUAAUACAUCAUCGUAGGUGCCAGGUCUUAUUAGGUUUUCUUAUUUUGAAUGUCACUUCAACUCAAUGUUUAACUUUUUGGCAAAUAUAGAUAUUGGACCAUUUUCAACUCCAGUUUCAGUAGUGGUAAAAAUGAUAGCUCCUGGCCAUUGUUUUGAUUAGUGGGAAAUUUACAUGUGUGCUAGCCAUACUUAAUUAUCUUAUCCAGAGUUGGCAAUUUUUUACCAUGUGGAUUGUAUUAAUUUGCAUUGAUUUAGAAAACAAUUUCCUAAAUUUGACAUGAUUGACAUGAUUUUUCAUGUACAUAUAGAUAGUUGCUAGUGAAAUUUUAAUUUGCCAUGAGUUAGAGAACAAAUUUCGUAAAGUUUCCAACAAGUUCCCAUGAUUUUUAGGAGAAUAAAAUUCCUAAAUUUUCCAUGCGACUACUACAAAUUUUCCUAAAGUUGCAUGUCUUUCUUAGGAAAAUUGUUUUUCUGUAAUUUGACAUGUGAUAAGUACAAGCUUUUCCUUAAAAAAUCUACUUGUUUUUUUUGAGAAAACGCAGAAGACUUUUGCGUUUCAUUGUAUUGAAAAGAUAGAAAUUUGUUACAACCCUCCUAAGGGCAUGACCAAUGCCCCACGCUGGACAGCUUCCCCGCAGGUCCACGUCGGAGGCGAGCUGCCAUGGAAGAGAGAGGAGAAAAAGACGUUAGCUUGCAGAGCUCAGGUGCAGCUUGUAGAGGAGGUAGAAGCUUGAGGGAGAGAGAGAGUGUGGUCCAUGGACAAAUGUGGUAGUGCAUGCGCUGCUCUUGGGAGAGAGGGAGAGUGCGUGGAAGAAGAAAAGGUAAAGUCCAUGUGCUAUGGGGAGAAAAAGAUGGGAAGUGAGAAGAGGCUAGCUCACGUCACAAGGCUAUCGGUUAGAUUGAAUGAAAACUGAAUGGAGUCUCAUUUUUGUUGUGAUGAUGUGGAGGUCUUGGGGCAGCACUAGGUGAUGCCACCAUUGUUCAUGCCCUAAGAGGCCAAGUUCAAGAAAAAAUAGUAAAAGCUAGUGUAUAUCCCAGGUGGUUGGUAAGAUCACCCUCAAGCCACGGGCACCAGCGCGUGCCCGUUGAUCAGCUUCAUCCUUGAUCUUAGAGACCAGGGUAUGGACGAGAGGCAGGGCACCAUCGAAUAUGCAUUUGUUGCACUGCUUUCAGAUCAUCCACAUCGUCAGGAGUGCAAUGGAGGCAAGACCCUUGCACAUCUACAUAGGCGUGUUUUGCUUGGCGUGGAGCCACCAGUCCAUAUGAGUAUCUUCUUGGUUUGGUCUUGCGUGUGUCAUCCCGAGCCAAAGCUAGGACCUCAUGCCAAGUCUGUUUGGCGAAAGGGCACUCCGGGAGUAGGUGCCUCAUCGUCUCGGGAGCCUGUUCACACAACGGGCAUCGAGGCCGGUGUUGGAGGCCAUGUAUAGCGAGGCAAUCAGCAGUCCAACACAUAUCAAGGUUGGCCAGCCAGUGGAAAAAAUUCACACAUGUCGGCGCCCAGCUCUUCCAGAUGAACUUCCAGGAGAAGCAAGUUGUGGAUCCCUCGAAUGUGGCUAGGUAGCAGGAACGAACAAUGUAGGUGAUAGAUGCAGUCCACUUCAAAACAAGUUGGUCGGGGACAUCCGAUAGUAAGAAGUCUUCGACCGCCUGUCAGACUUGCACGUAUUGGCCAUUCUCGUUGAUGCCCAUUUGAAAGGAUCGAGAAGAGGUGUCUAGAGGGGGGGGGGGGGGGAAUAGACUCCUAACAAAGAAAAGUUACAGUUUUUAUUUUCUUCAAGUUAAGGUAGAGUUUUGGCACAAGUUUAAACAUCCACAAUACAUUCAAACAAGCAUGACAAGAGUAUAUGAGCAGCGGAAAGUAAAGCAUGCAAUUUGCAAGAAAGUAAAGGGAUGGGAUUGGAGUGUGCAAACGCAAUUGGAGACACAGAGAUUUUUGGCGUGGUUCCGAUAGGUGGUGCUAUCGUACAUCCACGUUGAUGGAGACUUCAACCCACGAAGGGUAAUGGUUGCGUGAGUCCAUGGAGGGCUCCACCCAUGAAGGGUCCACAAAGAAGCAACCUUGUCUAUCCCACCAUGGUCAUCGCCCACGAAGGACUUGCCUCACUAGGGUAGAUCUUCACGAAGUAGGCGAUCUCCUUGCCCGUACAAACUCCUUGGUUCAACUCCACAAUCUUGACGGAGGCUCCCAAGUGACACCUAACCAAUCUAGGAGACACCACUCUCCAAAAGGUAAUAGAUGGUGUGUUGAUGAUGAACUCCUUGCUCUUGUGCUUCAAAUGAUAGUCUCCCCAACACUCAACUCUCUCUCACAGAUUUGGAUUUGGUGGAAAGAUGAUUUGAGUGGAAAGCAACUUGGAGAAGGCUAGAGAUCAAGAUUCAUAUGGUUGGAAUGGAAUAUUUGAUCUCAACACAUGAGUAGGUGGUUCUUCCUUAGAAAAUGUAUGAUGGAAGUGUAGGCAUGUUCUGAUAGCUCUCUCCACAAAUGAAGAGUGGGUGGAGGGGUAUAUAUAGCCUCCACACAAAAUCUAACUGUUACACACAAAUCACCAAACUCGGUGGGACCGAAUAAAAAAACCCAGUCGGACCGAUUCAGUUCAUAAUGUGACCGUUAGGAAUUUCGGUGGGACCGAUAUGAUCAACUCGAUGGGACCGAUGUGCUAGGGUUAGGUUAAAACCUCAUCUUGGUUUGACCGGUUACACAAACUCGGUGAGACCGAUUUUGGUAAUAAGCAAAACAGAGAGUUGGUCAAGCAAACUUGGUGGGACUGAUUGCAUAUCUCGAUGGGACCGAAAUUAUUGCAAUAGGUAACAGAGAGUUUGCAAGCCCAUCUCAGUGAGACCGAGAUCCCAUCGGUGAGACCGAAUUGAUUAGGGUUUGUGGCAGUGGCUAUAUCAAGUGAACUCGGUGGCGUCAGAUGGAAAAUUUUGGUGGGGCCGAGUUUGACUUUUGGUUUGGGACAUAUGUGGAUAUGAGAAAGUGGUUGAGGGCUUUGAAGCA
This 44586-nucleotide long non-coding RNA is filed under the name Triticum aestivum (bread wheat). RNAcentral's name for it is "long non-coding RNA (TAES_LNC005782)". The stretch from base 22320 to 22406 matches the Rfam family "MIR1120/MIR1122 microRNA precursor family". The record is from RNAcentral. Lineage: Eukaryota; Viridiplantae; Streptophyta; Magnoliopsida; Poales; Poaceae.